UCUUUCCAUCUCCUCCUGUUUGUGUGAUCAAGGUUAAGUCACGUCAAUAUUUUAUAUUCCUAUUACUUUUUGUUUUAUUAUUUUAUAAAAAAAUUAAUAUAAAAUGUUGACGUAGCUUAACCAUGACCACACAAACAAGAAUGAAUGGGAAGAAUAUGGAACUGGGAGGGCAGACAAUCCACCUCCAAUUUGGAGAGAUGAUGGAUUUAAUUAAUUUGUUUAAUCGUGGUAAUACCGCACUAGGAUUUUUGCUGGGUUGGCAUAAGCACUAGGGUUUGCAUUUUCCAGGGUAAGGGCCAACCCACGAUCAUCGUCAUCUUGAACAUGUCUCCUUUGGAAGCAACUUUUGCCCCUCUUUCUGCUUAUGCAGAUGAAUAAUAUUUGUUAGAACUGAGUUCGUAAACUAAUGGAUAGAGAGGUUCAAAUCUCUUUUAACAAAGACUUCCAUUCUUCUAAAUAUUGGCUCUUUUAUAGUUUCUUCAAUUUCCGAUGUCAAACAAUACUCUACAUUUUACAUAAAAUAUAACAUAGGCUUAGUUUUAACUGACACAUGUACUCUUCAUAAAACCUGACUUUACUGUAUGAACUCUAUUUUGUUUCACUUUACCCAAUGUACUUAUACUUUGUGUCUCACUUUACCUUAUUCCCUUAACUUCGUCACAUAAACCGUUAACUUGCUGACUUGCAGUGUCUUUAAUGUGAUAUUGGUUAAAAGAAAAUUAUAAAAUAGAUUAAAAUGUGACAAGUUAACAGUUUAUAUGACGGAGUUUAACAAAAUAAGGUAAAGUAAGACACAGUAUAAAUACAUGGAGUGAUAGAGUGCAAGAAGUAAAGUGAGAUUUUUUUUUUUUUUUUUAUCAUAGCUAAAAAUAAGCCGCAAAUAUAUACUCACUAACGUGAGGCAUUUUUGUAUCUAACAUGUAGACAAUUUUUAACAAGUGAAGUGACGUGUGACUUAAAUGCUAAUAUCUAACCCAUAAUCAUAUAGCAAGUUAGCAAUGGGUGGAAGGGCUUAAAACUUUUUAAGCUCAUAUAUUUUCUUUGAUCUUUGUAUGUGACAUUCUAUCAACAAAAUUAGGGUUUACGAACUUUAUUAUCUUAAGGAACGCAUGCUUCUCGAUCAAAGCAUUUUACUACCUACAUUUGACUGAAAAUCCCAACUUCCAAAUUAGAACCAAAACAUUUGAAACCAAGCCAGUACUAUUAAACAUAAAGAGAGUAAGUUGGAAGUGUGAGAUUGGUAAAAGUGCCACGCUGUCCUGUUUGUGUGUCUUUUGUAAUUGUCCAUCUAUCUAUCUUAAUUUAGUCUAAUAGAUAAUUAGAGCAAUGGUCUCUGAAUUUUACCUCAAUCGGAAUUUUGAUCUCUGAACUAAAAAUCCGUGAGCAUGGGUAUCUGAACUUGCUAUAAUAUGAAAUAAUGAUCUUUUACGCUAACUCCGUUAGAACUUAUAUUCAAAAUAAAGGGUUUAAAGGGACAAAAAUAAAUGAAAGUUCUAACGAAGUUAGCCAAAAUGAUCUUUGCUCCACAUUAAAACAAGUGCAUAAACCAAUACUCACGGAUUUUUUAUUCAGGGACCAAAUUAUCUCUAUCUAACAUAUCUACAAAGCUAUAAACCCUAAGUAUAAACAUUUUGUCAUAAUAUUUGUGGAAAAGAGUCGGGUAAAGAUUUGUGUUAUGGUGAAUGUGUAAAACGUGAGAUUCAAGAAGUCGUAAGCUAGAAUUAGGGCACGCGUGAAAUCCAGGCCGCCCCAUAAACAUCUUGCCUUGUUUUCUACUUUCUUGUCUUCCAUUGCAGCUGCUGCUGCUGCAGUGGAAGCUUCACCGCCAUCAUCAAGACAAAAGGGCCAAAAGCCACCCCCACUCAAAUCAAACAUUCCUUAUUUUAUAAAUUAAGAGAAGAGAAUAUGAAUUUGGGGGAAAAAGAUCCAAUCAUAUGUACUGGUUGCUUGCUGCCUGGCAUCUAAUUAGUGGCCAAAGUCAUUAGAUUAUUAGGUUUCCUGUUAACCCAGACCCACUAAAUUAAUUUUGGUUUUAUUAAUUAUGAUCCGUGUUAACCCACUAACUUAAUUUUGGUUGUUAUUAAUUAUUGUUCAUGCAUAUGCACAAUUGGUGAAUUGCUCCGGCGCUCUCUUCAAUCCGUUAUGUCACCAGUUCAAAUUCACAGUAUAAAUAAAUAUCGAAUGUAUUCAAAAGGAAAAAAUUUCAUGUACAUGCACUUAGUGUGAUUCCUAAUAAUAACGUGUGAUAUUUUACCCGCUCCAUAUUCAAAUUAACAGAUUCAUUGGGCAACUCAAUGUGUACAAAGCGGAUAUUUAUGGACAAGGGAAGUACAAUCUACCAGAAAUAAAUGCUCUUAACUAGUAAGGCACGGACCCAACCAACAAAUGUUGGGGGGGGGGCUGAGCCAUCUGCAUAGGAGAGUUGUCCAAAGGUAGGUUAGGACAUUUUUGUAAGGCCAUCUCCAACCGAAGGGUCCAGAGGGUCAGAGGGCCGAAAAUAGCCCUUAAACCGUCUCCAACCGAGCGCUAGGCCAGAGGGCUCGGGAAUCUGGGAGGGCUGGAGGGCUGGCUGCUUUCGGCCAGAGCCAGCCAACCCCAGGCUGGCUAUUUUUUUUUUUCUAGUUUUCCUAUUGCUGUCGGUUAUAACCGACAGUAAUAGGUAUUCAUAGGCAAAAAAAAAAAAAUUAUUUACUAUUACUGUCGGUUAUAACCGACACUAAUAGUUUGAAAUUUUUUUGAACAUAACGGCUAGCUAAUCAGCUAGCUGUUGGGUUUUUUUUUUUUAAUUUAAACAUUUCUUUUUUUCUAUAAAUAUGGUGAAGUUCUUUCAAUUCUUCACUUCAUUUGAAAUAUUUCCUUCUUCAAUAUUUCCUUCAAUAUAUUUCUCAAUAUUUCCUUCAAUAUAUUUUCCAAUAUUUCCUUCAUCUAUAAUAUUUGUUUCAAUUUUUCAAUAAUUUCCUUCAUUUUGUUCCUAUAACUUAUUUUUCACAAAAUUUGUUUCAUAUUUUUUUUUAAAUUUCAUUUUUUUCCUAUAACUUCUAUUUCACAAAAUUUGUUUCAUAUUUUUUUUAAAUUCUAUUUUUUUUCCUAUAACUUCCUAAGCCAUUAUACAACAUUAAAUUAAAUUAAGUAACAUGAAACAACAUUUAAGUUGUAAUUUUUAAAUAAUAAAUUAUGUUUAGCCCUAUAGCCCUUUGUCCCUCGAUUGGAGACGGUUUUUUUGUGAAAAUGCUAAAACGAACCCUUUGGCCCUCUAGCCCUCAGUUGGAGACGAAGGCAAAUAUGACAUUGUACUGUUCAUUAAAAUAUUAAUAUCUUAGAGAAUCUUAGAGGGCCAGAGGGCUAAAACGAGCCCUCUAGCCAACCAUCGGUUGGAGAUGGCCUAAGUUGGAGUGGGCUAGAGGCUAGGUCCGUUCUUGUACCAAGUUGACUUACCGGCUCCUUCCUCGUUGGGAAACUAUUACGGAAGGCUGCAAAUUACCAACCAGAAGAGUAGCGCUUACAGGGCUGGGCAUACCGGCAUACUAUAAAACGAAGACAAACUAUGCCCCAAGUCAGCAACGGCUUCGUCAAUAAAGUUCGCCUCUCGAAAAACAUUGCAAAAAACAAAAUUAUCUCAAGUCUCCUGAAUUUACAGCAAAGGAGAUGAAAUUUACAGUGUUAAAUAUUAGAUAUGAGCCCGUCAAGAAAGUAAAGGCGUAGGGAUGAAAAACCAAGUUAAGCAGGAGUAUCAAAUCAGUUUUGAGAAUUAGGGAACAACCUAUUCUGAAUUUGGUAAAAUAAACUAUAAAGUUGAAGCUUCAAACAACGGUACAGAAACAGGAUACGAACCAUAAAAUUAGCUCCAAAAUUGAUCGCGUUUCUAGCCAACAAUUAAAGCAGUAUUGAAAAGAUUGAACGAUCCUACCUAUAUUUUCAAUGGAAAUAAAAAUAUUACACCCUUCUCUGCAAACAAAGACCCCGUUCUCACAGUUGGUCAUAUAUCCUUUGACAGAUUACUUUCAAAAGUAGAAUCUCAUGACAUAGGUUCUGUAAGCAAAGGCAUUACAGAACCUGAGCAGCCGUGUUCAAUUUUUCGGCUAAGGUGAGCUGUGUCCUUGUGAUGCUUGACAAGUACAGUAAGAGCAAGUUGUCCUGUAAGCAACAAACAAAAGGACAAGUCUAAUGUCAAAGAAACGCUCGCCAAACUUAUAACCCUAGUAUUGAAGAACUAUUUUGCAUCAUUACCCUACAACCGACAACAGGAGGCUGUGAACAACACUGAUAAUAGAUAACUAAAGUAACUGAAUAUUUUGAACUGUAUCUUUCAUGAUACAACAAAAUGAACAAAAAUAUAUCGCACCUGCAGGCUGUCAUUGAUAAGCUUAUCAAAAGCUGAUGGAGACAGUUUCGGAAGAGAUGCAAUCGUAUCAAAAAGAAAUCUCCCUAUAGUGUUAUCUUGUUCAACACGGCCUUCCUGGAAACAUGAACCCUCAUUAGAAUUAAGUAAAAUAAAUGGAAUGACCAGCUUAAGAAGGUUAAGUAUCAUUACUAACCACAACAUUGUCAACAUAUUUGUAAACAUCAUCAAUUAAAGCUAGAAGCCGCUCCAUUGAGGCUUCCAUUCCUUCAAGAUCAGUUGGGAGUUUGUCAACCAUUGGGGUCUUUAAAAUAUCAUCUGUCAUCAUGGAAAAGCAUAUGAUUUUGAAUCAGAUCUGCAUCGUGCUUAAAAGCUCAAACAAUCAUAUCCAAAAAUUAGUGGGAAGCUAUGAGUUCAACCAAUGUACUAAAUAAAAGCUUAGGCCCAAAAUGACAAACUACUUUUUAUUGAUGUGAAAAGGACAUAUAACUAGUUCCUUCAACGGAUUGUUAUUCUCAGAAAUACUAGUUCCUUCGAGUUUCCUCCAAAACUUAGCGUAAAAGUUACUUCUGUUCCAUGAAGUCAGAAAACUAUACAGGGAAGAUCAAGUGAAUGUGUUGUGUGUGUGAAUACCAAUAUGACCACAAAUGAUGCUACAAACAAUAAAAGUUUAGAGGGAUAAACUUACAUCCAACUCGCUCAGCUUCAACCAUGCGAAGAUCAAGAGGAAUUUCUUGAAACUGCGCAGCAAGUUGCCGAUCUCCAAGAGACAAAUUCACUGAAACAUAGCUUUUAUGGCACCCACUCCAUUAACAAAUCCAGUAUCAACAGUCAAAUGAACGGGGUUGGGAGCUUCUCUAGAAUAGAAUUCAUGAAACAGUGCACUACCACCAGUAACUCCAAGACCAGUUGAAUACCUACAAGUAAUAAUCAAGGCGUAACAAUAAGCAUUCCAAUCAACUUGAAAACUUACAAAUCUCUAUUACAUAUGCUUAAAACAAACUCGUAUGAACUUUUCGAAAUUUGUGAAACUAUCAUUGGGGAGCAUUGAGUUCGCGCUCUCACGUGUACCAUGACAUACGAGGAUGUUCCCUAUUCCAUUUAUGAAUUCGUAUUUUUGGCUACCAAGCUUACGCACUAGUUACAGGUUCCGCACCAAAUUAAACAUAAAUUACACAGAGGAAGCAACAUUUCACCGGAAUGAAUAUCAUUAUUAAACACGAUAUAAUUCGAAUUCGUCAAUUAAAACUGCCUGAAAAGUUGCACGAUAAUAACUAAGAAAUCUAAAACAGAAAAGAUAAUGAUAUUUACCAUCCAACGAUGACUUCCUUGGGAUUCACCUUCUGGUGGGAUAUCAACAUAUUGUGAUGGUACUCAAUAUCUAAAGCAACCUGCAAAUUACACACCGAAACAAAACGUCAGUAAAUUCUAACACAGGAUCACAAUUUCCUCGUGUUCAAGAAAUUAACCACAAUUUUCUCAUCAACCAAACAGGGGGAAAACCCAAAUCGCUAAAUAACAAUAAAAUUAAAGAAACAAAUGAGGAAGAAGAACCUGCUCGGCGCUCAUAUGAGGAACAGCGUAGGAGUUUCUGAUGUCGACAGUUCCGUCAGGUAGGACGGAGCCGAGGAGCGUGCCGAUGACUCGCUCCGACUGGUCGGGACGCCUGACGUAGCAAUCGCAGAUGUUAAAGAUGACGAGAGGAUGAACCUUCGCCGACAAGCUCGACGACGGAGACGUGGAGAACUGCAACGCAGUGUGCUCGAUCGCCGCCAUUCUCUCUCACCGCCGAUGGAUCUGGAUUUUGCUUAGGGCUCGAGAGUAAGCGAGAAAGAGCACGGAGGGUGGAGCGAGCACUAGGGUUUUGGGGGAUAGAGAGAGAAGAGGGUAUUGGAUUUCACUUGUUUUUAUUUUAUUUUAUUUUAGGCCUUUCAUCAUUAAGAAGCCCAAUGGUCUAAUGGGCCUAUCUUGGCCCAAAUAGGCUUCAAGAAUAAGAGUUGGCAAAAUCGAAGUAAGAUUCUCUCAUCUCCUCUCCUCUAUUAAUUUUCUAUUUUUCUUUCUCUUUCUGCAAAGAAGUCAACACAAGAAAUUGACGUGAUUUAAUUGUGACUGUUUAAAUAUGAGGAGACUAGAGAGAAGGAGAAUUUGGAGAAGAUAAAAUUCUACUCCAGCAAAAUCUGGGACAAGAAACUUGAAGCCAUUUCAAUCUUUAAAUAAAUUUCCUUAAAAAUCACAUAAUAUUGGAUUAAAUAUGAUUGCAAACUUCAUUUAAGGUAUGUUAGAGGGAAAAAGUGGAGCUAACUUUCACAUUUUGGCCAAUUGAUGGUAGAGAUGCACUAUUUGUGAAGAAAACUAAUCACUUCUCAAUCUUGGUUAUGAACGAAUAAAACUUUACCAUAUUGGGAGAGUAAAAGGGACAUGUUUUAUUUCUGAACAGAUAAUCUAUUUCUUUCAACUCGAUAAAUUUUGAAAGUUAAUAUUUAUUUCUUACGUCAACAUACCUCAAAAAUAGCAAAUUGUUAAAUUCAAUCAUAGGCAUCAAACCUAGUAUCUUCUAAGAGCAAGUCCACCCAUCAUUGAGCCAUUUAAUACUAUGGUUUAGUGGUAUUUAUCUUCAUAUGUAAAUGAGAGGUUUUAGGUUCGAUUAUCGUUAAAUGUGAAUUUGAACCACAUUAUUGAUAACUCAUUGAGAGUCUUAUUCCACUCUCCCAUUCCCUUAAUGUAGACAUUUUGUUUAAAAAAUGAAAAAAUAAAAAAAUAAAGUCCACCCAUCCUUGGAUGGCAAGGGCAAGGGCAUAAAAACAAGGGAAAGGGAUUCGGAGUCCCUUCCAUCAAAUCCACCUCAUCAAUCAAUUCGGACCUUUGAAAUUUAAUCUAACAGCUAAAGCCGUUAUAACUUUUAAAAGAAUCUCCUAUUUUUAACCGUUAAAUCAAAUUUUAAAAACCCAAAUUGAUUGAUGGGAUGAAUUUGUUGGAAGGGAUCCGGAAUCCCUUUCCAAAAACAAGGGCCCAAAAUGAAGAAGGCAAUCAGCUCCACCAAGCCUGUCGGACUGCCCAGCCAACAUUACGCGCAUGCUAGUGCUAUGUUCGGCGGAGCAGGCUGUCAUGUUUUGAUAGGUACAAGGAGGACCACGACAUGAUUUGAUCAAGUAUGAAUGCUACCAUGCUGAUAUGAAUUUAAUUAAGCGUCCCGAUGAGCUUUCAAAACGGUAUCCAUUACUCUGACUCUAAAAUCAGAACGACGACGGUUCCUUGAAUAAUUAUUGGAUCUGGAUGUUUACUUGGGACGAGAAAGUUUAUGAACCAGAUUAUGAGAAAAGUCGGGACCAAAAAACAAAACAUGUAGGAUUGAUAAUAUGACGAUACUAAAGAAAUCAAAAUUUUAAUUUAUGUUUUAUAAAUCACGUAAUGUGAUGAUUGAUUGUUUGACUUAUUUUUUAAAUCAUUAUAAAAGGGAGUUUUGCUAUUAAUCUCUACAUCAUAUGAUUUACAAAAAAUGAUCAAUUUUUUUUAUCUAUGUAGCAUUUUUCAUGAGAAUAACUACUCUUUAGUCAAUGGAAUUCAUGGUUGUUAAUAAAUGUAUGGUAAAUCAAGAAUUACAAUAAUUUGAAUAUUUGGUGUAAGAAAAAUGAAAUCUGAAUCAUAUUCAUUCUAAUCCUCAAUUUUAGUAAAACGUGCCAUUAGUAUAUAUAAUGUCGGUAUAUGAGCAUCUACAACACUACUAAUUAUAUAUUUGUUAUUUUAGCAUGAAAAUAAUCAAAAUAACUCAAAAUCUUUUAAUAGCCACAGUUUAAGCAUAACCAUCUCCAACGCUAUUAGGCCUGAAUUCAGCCUUGUGCCUUCGAGAAUUUCUGGAAGGGCAAACUCUUUGGAGUAAGCCAUAGUACACAACCACCACAGGGUGGCUCAAGUGACAAAUUUUCAGAUCCGUAUUUCACACGAUACGUCUUGGAUUCGAUUCCUGACAUUGGUGAGUCACACGAUAGUAGUCAAGUGGAUGCUGAAAUACCUCUGUGAGUCUUCCCUGCCCGCGGAAUAGUCGAUUGUCAUGAUGAAGCUACUAAAUGGUCCUUUUUUUCUAAACAAAACAAAUAUUACAUAUUUUAUUAUAGGAAAAUUCUAUUCUAAUCCUUGUCUAAGAUUACUUUUUGAAUAAAAUCUUAUCUAAGAUUAAAAAUUAAUUCUAAUCCUUGACAUUUAAUUGUAACUUUUUAAUAUUAAAUAGGUUGUAAUUGUAACAUCCCACAUCACCCAGGGGUUAUGAUCAUGUAAGCCUUAUGUGUAUAUUCUCAUCUUUACCUAGCAUGAGGCCUUUUGGGAGCUCACUGGCUUCGGAUUCCAUCGGAACUCCGAAGUUAAGCGAGUUCGCGAGAGAGCAAUCUCAUGAUGAGUGACCCACUGGGAAGUUCUUGUGUGAGUUCCCAGAAACAAAACAGUGAAGGCGUGGUUGAGGCUCAAAGCGAACAAUAUCGUGCUACGGUGGAGUUGAGCCCGGGAUUUGACAAUUUGGUAUCAUAGCCAAUCUCUGGCCGGAUGUGUGCCAACGAAGACGUCUAAGGGAAGUGGAUUGUAACAUCCCACAUCGCCCAGGGGUGAGGAUCUUGUAACGCCUUAUAUGUAUAUUCUCAUCUCUACCUAGCACGAAGCCUUUGGGGAGCUCACUGGCUUCGGGUUCCAUCGGAACUCUGAAGUUAAGCGAGUUCGCGCGAGAGCAAUCCCAUGAUGGGUGACCCAUUGGGAAUUUCUCAUGUGAGUUCCCAAAAACAAAACCGUAAAGGCGUGGUUGAGGCCCAAAGCAAACAAUAUCGUGCUACGGUGGAGUUAAGCCCGGGAUGUGGUGAGGACCCAGGCCAGGAUGUGAUAGUAAUAAUUGUUGAGUUUUUUGUUUGUAGGUUAUAUAUUGAUUCCCAUAAAUAAUAAAAAUGUUAUUUAUCAUUGAUAGUUAUUAAGUUCACAUAAUAAGAGAAGUCAUAUAUUAUCAUAUUUUUUUUAUUGUGCGUAAAUUUCUCCAUAUAUAUGUAUAUACAUAUUACGUACAUAUGUAUAUUUAGAUACUAUAGUUACGUACCAAUACAUUUGUAUCGAUACAUUCGUACCGAAAGUUAUUGUUUGGGCCCAAAAAUAGUGUUGGUUGGGCUGAGUUUAGAAUCCUUAUCGGCCCAGUGUUGGUUGGGCCGAGUUUAGAAUUCUUCUCAGCCCAUAAGCCGUGUACAGGUGUCGUUGGGAGUUAUGUAGCUCCUGGGCUGCACGGUCGAAGUUGGCCACGUCCCAUUGGGGAAUUGGGGAUGUGGAUGAGUCAUGUUAUGAGAAGGAGUUUCGACAGGAUCAGGAUGCUGGAAUUGAAUACAGCCUGGUAACGAGUUAUGUUCAAAGUCCUAGUAAGAAUAGGAUUGGCCGAGAUAAAGUUGAAUCAGGGAAAUGAGUUAUAAUCCGAGAGUGAUUGAGAUUCAAUAUAGGUUGGCUGCUAUAAAUAGGGAGGGAAGACAUCGAAACAAGAUCCCUCUAACUCAACACACAAACUGCCCAUCGCAAACCCUUGCUCUACGCGAAACCUCUCAACAACCUUGAGAUUUUUUUAUUUUCCUUUUUUGCCAACACAACUUCAGUUUGGAUAAAUAACACUGUGAAGGCAACUGGCGAACACCUUCAGUUUGAAUAAACAACAUUGUUGCCGUAGAAUAAGCCGACCUUAAAGCAUGUUCAAUUUGGAUAAACAACACUGGGACAGGGCCAACUAGUUAUCUAUCCAAGUCUCGGUUGAAAAGGAUUUUUGAAUCCUUAUCGGCAGGGGUCAUCUCAUUAGCCUUCUCAGCAAAGCGAGGUGUUACAAGUUACUAUACUCGGCACAUUGAACGCCGAGUCGUUUAUGAUUGGUUAUUCGCAAGUAGGUUUUAGAGUUCGGCAUUCUGACAGCCGAACCACUUUCACAAUCAAGACAUAUAUUUAUUUUGAAUACAUGUGUCCUUAUACUCUGGUGUCGAUUCGGUGUGCUUAUACUCUUAUGAAUAUAAUCACGGUGACCGAAUACGAUGCCAUCAAUUUGUGAACUUCGCAAAACUAGUAGCUAUGUCUUCAAGCUUUAGAACUUGAAGGCCGAUGCGUGUUCUUUCCUCGGCCGUAGUUGCAAGAUCGAGAAGUCAGAUGCACACCCAACGCAACAUCAACAAAUUUUACUCCUCGACCGAGCUCGGCUGACGAGUUGGCACGCCCCGCAUACAACUGAAUGACGUAGUUAGCUUACUAAUUAUUCAGCUUGCACGCCACGUAGGCUUGGUAGUUUUUAGGGUCAACAAUUAUGUACCACUAUAUUCUUACCGAAACUUACGAACCGAUACUUAUGUACUUAUAAGUAAUAUAAGGUACCUAAAGUUAUGUACCAAUACUUCCGUACUUAUGAUAAAAUAAGAUACCGAAUGUUAUGUAUAAAUUGAUUUUGUUAUGCUGUUGAAUUUUUUUAAUAAUGAGAAUUUGAAUUUUGAAUAAAUUUUUAUCUAUUAAUAUGAUUAGAGCACAAAAUAAAAAACAUAAUUAUGGAUGGGUAAAUAAUUUCGAAUGGCAAGUUCAUAAAUUAUAAAUGUGCUAUAAUUACUUAAAUAUGUAAGUUUUAAAAAUAGAGACUUAUAUUAGAUUUUGAAAACCAUUCAGGUUAAAAUUUAAAAACAAUCUUAUUGAAACCCUAAAAUCUAAAAACCCCUGUUAUUAUUAACAACUCAAUCCUUUUUAUUAUUUUGUUAUUUAACUAUUAACCACUACUAUCACCAAAGUUUUGAUAUAUUUCAAGUUGAUCUUUUUGUUAAAUUAUCUUUAUACUUGUGUUGACCCCUAAAAACUACAAAGCCUAUGCGGCGCGCAGGUCGAGUAACUAAUGAGCUAAUUACGUCCUUCGGUUGAUGCAAGGCGUGCCAACUUGUCGGCUGAGCUCGGCCGAUGAGUAAAAUAUGUUGAUGUUGCGUUGGGUGCGCGGCUGAGUUCUCAAUCUUACGACUGCGGGCGAGGAAGGAACACUCUCAGCCUUUGGGUUCUAAAGCUUGAAGCUAAGGCUGCUAGUUCUGUGAAGUUCAAUAUCAAAUUUGGCUUUCAAUGUGCCGAAUGUAGUAACUUGUAACACCUCACUUCGUCGAAAAUGCUAAUGAGAUGCAAGGUUCUAAAAAACGCUAGGCGCUAGUCGGGCGGCGGGCUAGCGCCUAGCGCCUAGGCGGCUAGGCGGAUUUAGGUAAAUUUCUUGUAUAUCAUGUAAAUAAGUGCAUAUUGACACCUUAAAAAAAACUAUACUUGUAUGGAUAAUAAAAUAAUGAUAAAAUGCAAAUUAGGUACACUAUUUCCAUAAGUAUUGGAUGAACUUGUAGUAAAUCCAUCAUUUGCAAAUUAGAUACACCAUUUCCAUAAGUAUACCACCAUAAAACCAAAAAAGAAAAAAGCACGCAUUAAUAAAAAAUAAAAAAUAAAAAAAACCUCCUAGGACCGCCUACCCCGCCUAACCCGCCUAGCCGCCCAGCCCGCCUAGACCGCCUAGGCGCCGCCUAGCCCGCCUAGGCCCAACCCGAUUUUUCCUCCCGAUUUGCCCAAAAACGCCUCGGUUGCUAGGCGCCCAGCGCCUAGGCGGCCGCCUAGGCCGUUUUUUAAAACACUGAUGAGAUGACCUCUGCCAAUAGGGAUUCGAAAAUCCUUCUCGACCGAGACUUGGAUAGAUAACCAGUCGGCCAUGUCGCAGUGCUGUUUAUCCAAACUGAAGGUGCUUCACAGUCAGCUGAUUCUACGGCAACAAUGCUGUUUAUCUAAACUAAAGAUGUUCGCCGGUUGCUUUCACGGUGCUAUUUAUCCAAACUGAAGAUGUGUUGGCAAAAGGGGAAAAUAAAAUCUCAAGGUUGUUGAGAGGUUUCGCGUAGAGCGAGGGUUUGCGCAGGGCAGUUUGUGUGUUGAAUUGGAGGUCGACCUUCCGUUGCCAUUGCAUUUGUAUUUAUAGGACUGAAGUACUUGCUUUGCACGGUCAAAUAAUGUUGCAGAGUUUAAUUGCAACUCUAAUUCCUAAAAUUAAUCCGCGUCAAAAGCCAAGCAUAUCCUCAGAUUCUAGUUUGUGACUUCUAAAAUAAAGCCUAUCUAAGCUUCCACAUCACAUCAGAAACCUAGAGGACCUAGGCUUCAGAUCUCAUAAAAAAAAAUCUCCACCAGAAGGCUUUUAAAACCAUUUGAUCACUUCCAUCACCAUAGCCUACCUAGGUUUCCUAUGUCAUCAUUACAAACCUAGCUUUUCUAGGCUUGUCUCAUCAUCACCCAAAGCCAUCAACUUUAUUGUGGCAUGCAUCAUGACCCUAUCUGAAUGCAUUUCAAAUUCAUUUUUAGCUUCCAUGUACCAUCGGAUAUCCCAAAUCAACUCGAACUGUAAUGCUCGCUUGGGAUAUAAUUCACAUCAUAUUUAUUUGGUUGAAGAAGACGCUAGGAUAAUGCAUAUUAAAAGAUAAUUUUUAUGAUAAAAAUCAUAAUAUUAUCCUUUAAUAAUGACAAAACCUAUCUCCACUUUUCCAUUCAACGAUUGAGAGUUAUGCUCACUCAACGGUCUUGAUUACACGGCCCAAUGGUGUAAAUUUGGGUCCAAACAACUUAGUUAAAUAUAACUUUUGGAGAGUUCAAAUGGGAAUUGUUUUUGGCACUCAAAAAAUCUCAUUUUACACUCCAAACUUUCUAUAAUUAGAAAAAAGCCGAUGGUUUUCUUAAGAUGCUCAAAAUGAUUAGUUGCGAAAAAAAAACUAAUGAAAAUGACUUGAAAACUUUGAAUUUUAACGGAAAAAAAAGCGUUGUAAGUGAAUAGUACUAAUAUUGACUUUUAGAGUAAAAAUAUGGUUUUUCGUUAAAAAAAAAUGAACAGUACCAGAAGCUUUUUAUUAAAGUUCCCAAAAAAUUAUGAUUUAAAAUAAUCUCAUGUCGGGGCGUUGCAGUAGAUAAGUUUUUUUAAUAAAAUAAUUCAUCGACCACUUACAAGUUGGUACACAAUUUUGUAAUUUCAUAUUUCAAUAUACCUUAAACAUCAGAGGUAAUUUAAUCCAAUCCUAUCCAAUCCUUUAAACCAAACUACGCGUAAAGUGAUUUAUUUAAAAACAUAGUUAUUAGUAGAUAGGAUUUGGACCAUUGGCCUAAUAUCAUUUAAAGACAUGCCCACAAACUUUUGUUUUUUAUAUUUUUUUAGAAGAGAGAGAGUAAACCUCAAUUUAUUUGAAAAUGAAAUUGUUAUUAGCACUUUAAAAACAUCAAUAUUUCUUUCUAAUUAUAAAAAGUUUUAAGUGUAAAAUAAGAUUUUUAGAGUGCUAAUAAUAAUUCAAUUUUCAAAUAAAUUGAGGUUUACUCUCUCUGUUCUUAGAAAAUAUAAAAAAUAAAAGUUUGUGGGCAUGUCUUUAAAUGAUGUUAGGCCAGUGGUCCAAAUCCUAUCUACUAAUAAUUAUGUUUUUAAAUAAAUCACUUUAGGCGUAGUUUGGUUUAAAGGAUUGGAUAGGAUUGGAUUAAAUUACCUAUGAUGUUUAAGGUAUAUUGAAAUAUGAAAUUACAAAACUGUGUACAACUUGUAAGUGGUCGAUGAAUUAUUUUAUUAAAAAAACUUAUCUACUGCAACGCUCGAUGUGGGAUGAAUUUAAACGAUAAUUUUUUGGGAACUUUAAUGCAAAGCUCUCGAUAAUGUUCACUUUAACAAAAAAAUUAUAUUUUUACUCUAAAAAGUCAAUCCUGGUACUAUUCACUUACAACUUUUUUUUUCCGUUAAAAUUUAAAGUUUUCAAGUUAUUUUCAUUAGUUUUUUUUUUUGCGUCUAAUCAUUUUGAGCAUCUUAAGAAAACCAUCGGCAUCUACAUUCGUUAUACCUUAAAUUUUAGCCGACUAUUGAUUCUGAUUCAGACAUGCAUCCGCAUCUCAGAUUCAACUAUUAAAUUGCUAAUGAAAUGACCUAUGGUUUUGUUUAUGCGUCUAAUGAAUUAUUAAACAUGUAAUUAAGCUCAAUUAACAAGAAGUCACCACAUCAUCGUUGGCUUGGUGGCUACUUGCUACCUAACCUCAACAACUCUUUUCCUUCUCUCUCCAAUAAUUUCUUUACGACUUAAUUAGAUUAAUAGUUCUGUGGUUAUAAGAUAGUUGAAAGAUAGCAUUUGUGGUAAAAAAAAAAAACAUUAUGAUUUAAACCAUGUGAUACAAUAUGUUAGAAUUGAUGCUCAAAAUUGAAAAUUUCGUCAACUUUUUAUUAAUUGUUAGUACAUAAGCCGACCCCACGUGUUAACAAUUAACGGAAAUGUUCAUUUUAGCCUAAUAUGUGUAUAGAGAUUAAAGAGUUCCGUUUUAGUCUAAUAUGUGCAGCUUAUAUACUAAUAAUCAACAACAAAAUUGACGAAAUUUUCAAUUUUGAAUAUAAAUCAUAACAGACUUUACCACAAAAGAUUAGAUCCUAAUUUUUUAACCACAAGAAAUAUUUUUCAACUAUUUUAUAACCACAAAAACUAUUAAUUCAAUUAGGCCUUUAUUUAAUUUCCAAGUAAAUGGCGACCCGGAAUAAAGGUGGGUGUAAUUUCCGAAAUUGAAAAAUAGAAAUAUUUACUAAUUUACCCAUGAACUUGUAUGAAGCUGUAAUUUUUUUUCUGAAUUUUAAUUAGUCAAUUUUCCUUGAACUUUAGUCUUAAGCCAUUUACCUGCUAGAACUUUGAUAAAUAGACAAUUUUUCCCUUGGUGUUAGUUCAUUCAAGAAAUAAACGGUUAAAAUUAAAAUUCAGAGAAAAUUUGAUUAUGUAUAAAAGUUCAAAAAAGUAAUCGGUUAAAAUUAAAAUUAUAAAAAUAAUUGAUUAAUUAUAAAAAUUCAGAAGUUAAUCAACUAAAAUUAAAAUUCAGAAAGCCAACGACAAAUGUGCCUUAGAAAAAUACACAAAUUCACAGCCACUUGAUGCAAAUAAAAUGAACACUCACCAUCAGAUGAUUCAGAUGGAUGGGAUUGGUGGGGCCUCUCCAUAAAAAAGAAAGGAUCAGAGGGCCCUUUGAGUCUUGAAAGUUGAAACGCAUCCACAACACACAUGUUUUUGCUUGCUCAUAUCACGAUUAAUUAACAGCUUAAUAACUUAAUUACGUACAAAAUACCCUUAAAACGAAAGCAUUACAUAUGAGAAAAUAACAAAAACUCGAUUGAAGAUUGGCUUGAAUGAUGAUCGUACAACGAUUUGAGACGUAAUUAACGGUAAUCACUUGGACUUGAAAGGGAUGGCCCUGAUCACAACCACGUGGUACAAAGCUGCAAGUGCUGCCCCAAUGAACGGUCCAACCCAGAAUAUCCACUGCCACAAUGAAAAAUAAAAUAAACUAAAAGUUAGAACAAAAGUUCAGAAGCCAUUGAAUGCGUUUUUGAAAUUGGAAUACAACAAUGGCUUUUGGAGAGUGCUCCCCACAAAAGCACUUUCAUUCAAGAACAGUAGUGCUUCUUGUAAAAGCAGUUUUGGAUCAAUUAGGAAGGCUUACGUGGUCAUCCCAGGCAUGCUUCUUGUUGUAGAUGAUGGCAGCGCCAAGACUUCUUGCUGGGUUGAUGCCAGUUCCGGUGACGGGGAUGGUGGCCAAGUGCACCAAGAACACGGCGAACCCAAUUGGCAACGGAGCCAAAAUCUGUUCAAAACCCAUUCAAAAUUCACAGCCAGUUAAUCACCAAACCAAAUAAAACGCCAACAAAAUAAUAAAAUCAGGAAGUUCAAGCUCAGCUAGGCAAAUGAUCGGAGACUAGACAUGCGUACCGGAACGUGGGAGUCUCUGGCGCUACGCUUAGCGUCAGUGGCGGAGAAAACGGUGUAGACGAGGACAAAGGUGCCGAUGAUCUCAGCACCAAGUCCUUGACCCUUGGUGUAACCAUGGGCAACAGAGUUGGCACCACCGCCCAGCAUCUCGAAGGUGGAGCUCUUCUCGAAGCCCUUCACGACGGCGGCACCGGCGAUAGCUCCGAGGGUCUGCAUAACUAUGUAGAACACCGCCCUGGUCAGCGACAGCUUCCUGGCCAAAAACAGCCCGAAAGUCACCGCCGGGUUUAUGUGACCACCUGAGAUAUAAACAAUAAGAUCAACCCCGUUAAUCAAGAUUUAUUUAUAAUUAAGAAUGGAUAAAUGACACGGCUGCGUUUUAUGGGGGGAAAUUAAUUACCGGAGAUGCCGGCGGUGCUGUAGACGAGGGCGAAGAUGGUCCCGCCAAAAGCCCAAGCGAUUCCUUGAAUCCCGACCGUCGUGCACUUCGACUUCGACUUGACAACGCCCAUCACCGUCAAGAUUGUGAUGUAGAGGAACAGGAAAGUGGCGAUGAACUCGGCGAUCCCGGCCCUGUAGAACGACCAUGACGUCAGCUCGCCGGGCUCGAACAGUGGAGCAGGCGGUGGUUCCUUGUAGUCCUUCCCGUCGUCCUGGCUCUGAGCCGACGUCCCGAUCGGCUGCCUCUCUGAGUACUUGUUCGCUCCCAGCCUAACAUCCUCUUCCUUGCCCUCCAUUAUCGCUUUACGUACAAGAUCAGACCAAGCAGAUAUCGAGCUCUCGGUGACUGAUGACCGUUGGAUCUUUUUGAUCUGAGAGUGUGAGGAAUGGCUGUGUUAUGAGUGGAUUUACAGGGAGGGACUUAUAUAGCACAGCGAGCGCCUGAGUUUUGGAAGCUGGUGAAGUGAGGGAGGGUGGUGGCGGGACCCAACGGCUUUAUUAAUUUUGAUUUUAUUUAACUUAUUUAUUUUUAUUACCAUGUGAGCGACCAAUGAUUUUUAACAAGCUGUGGUAAUUUUUUGCACAGAGUCGUUAAUUUGACAUAAACGACAUAAUAAUAGUAGGUAGUUGUUUAAUUCGUCAUCUAGUCGGAUUAUUAUCAAGUUACAUGUUAAUAAUUUGUUAACAAAUCAUGUUGUUAUCGAAUUAACGGUUAAGAACAUGAUAAGAUAAUAUGUAUAACAUGAAAAUGAUCCAUUUGCUAGGUCUAGACAUUAGCAUGAUAAUUUUAUCAUGACACGUUAAACCAAUACGAAACGACAUGGCUUGUUAAGUAAUCGGAUUGUUAUUGUGUCGGCAGUUAACAACUGUUAAAAUAAUAAAUUUGAUACGAUAUAAUUUGUUAAGAUAACUAGAAAAUGCCUAGAAAAUAAUACAAAACAUGACAAAUAUGAUUCGUUUGUUAGGUCUAAUUUUCUAGGCAUUUCACGAAAAGUGACGUGUAAAUAGGCUAAAGAAAAUUAGUAAGUUACUUUCCACGUGGCGCGAUUGUGUUCGCAAAUUGUAUGAGGUACUGCACCGUCCAAUCACAUCAUCUACAGUUAAAUAGUGCUUCAGACUGCGUAUUUCAAUUGAUGAGAUGAGACAGAACAACGGGUCUAUCAUUUGAAUUUUGGUUUGUUUGACAAAUUGUUGUGCCUAACUCUUAUUAAUGCGUGGGCACGGUUCGGAAUGAAUCCGUUUGUUUCUCAACGUAAGCAAAUUAAUUGGCAGUGAAGUUAUGCAAUGCAAUUUGUUUUAGUUAUAACUAAAUUAAGAAGAGAUAAUAAUCAAAUCACGAUUGAGUCAUUUAAUCGAUUCGAUUUAUAUAUAGGUCGCGUUGCAUCAAAGCAAACUACUUAUAAUUUGGUUCGGUUCGUUUGAAAAUACUUUCUUAGUGCUAAAAUUGAAUCAAACGCGUGAAAUCGGUUUGAUUCAACUAGUUUUGUACCUACUCUUUAAGUUAGUUAUCCGUGAUCGAGCGAGUAACUCUUAAUUGUUUAUUGGGUUAUUAUCUGAAGCAAAAUUCAACAUCUACUAUCGUCUAUAGUUAAGUUUAUACGAUAAUGCUUGGCUCGUGCUUUUAAUUAAUCAAUUUUUAUGCUAACUGCUAGGUGGCAGCAGGUAAAGAAGCCUUCAAUCAUUUAUCAUCUGAUGUGUUUGAUUCUCUCCAUCCAUUUAAUUAUGUUAUUUUUAUUAUAUAUAAAUAAUAUGAUACCAACCCAUGAUUAAUUUUUUCUUCGUUCUGCAAAGGCUGCAAACACUCAAAGGAUAUGAACUGCUGUGUACAAAGACAACUCCUUUCGCUUAAACAACAAAUUAUCAAGGCUGUAAUGGGAUCAUGGAAUUAAAUAUGCUAUAAAAAUUAUGGUACCGCUCCACUAUCACAAUAUGUGGCCUCGCAGUUUUGCGAUGAUUUAUACGGUCGUUGUGUUGAUCUGUUGUGUCUAUUAUGUUUUUGUUAUAAAUUCGUACUUGUAAUAUUUUGUAUGGUAGGAUAGUGUUUGUGGUAGCCGUAUAGGGUUUACUGUUGUUUGUUUCAUUACACAAAUUUACUUCAGAUUAAUUUCUUGGUCACUAGAACUGAUGUCCUCGAUUGGCAACCUUUGUAAUUAUUUGUGAAGUUCAAUGAAAUACCAUUCUAUCGCUUCUUGUAAAAAAGAAAUUCUAAAAAAAUAAAUAAAAAGGCUUGCCAAUGCAUUAGUAAUGGAGUCUCAUAGUUUAGUUUUGUAGUAAUCGCAAUGACGUUUUUGGAUAAUGAAAAAUAAUGUUGCAUGUCGUUAUAUUUAAUCAUCUCCCAUUCUUUAUGGGAUAAUGUUUCCCCCAUUUUUUUGUGCCAUAAUUCAUAGGUUAUAUAUAUAUAGAAUUUGGAGGCAUCACAUGGGGUGGAGCUUUGAUGACCUAGCCCGACGGCCCGUCAUUUGAACGUUUCAAACUCAAAUACAUUUAGAAAUUGAAACGCGUAUGAUUGAUGUCGUUUGGACCACAUGCGCACCAUGGUAGUGGCUGGCUAGUCAGCUUCACAAGUGGGCUCUCAAAUUAGUACUGGAAAAUUUUCUUAUUUUUGCCAAAAGAAAAGAAAGACAUACUUUUUCUUAAAGCGUAUGGCUGAAAAAAGUUAUCUUAAUUAACAUACUAUGUAUUUUUGUUGUUGCCGAUGGGAUGCUCUAUAUCAUAUAGCUUGAAUUGCAUCGCGGAAGGUGUCGCGUGGGAGAUAAAGCUAUGCAAUGUCGCGUUAUUUAGUGAUUUUGUGUAAAUUAUUUGAGACUUCCAUGGCGUAAAAUAGUAAUAAACACACACACACACUAGACUUUACUCAUUAGAAUCAUCACUAUGCAAAAAUCCUUACCGUCUUUAUCACGUCUUUCAUUUUCCUUCUUCAAUUUGUUGCAAAGUAUCAUUAGUAGUAUGAACCUGGCUUCUCUGCCCUCCCACUUUCCAUACACUUCCAUCUAUUUCUAUUUGUACGGUCACGGUUAAGGCACGUCAAUAUUUUAUAUUACUAUUGUUUUUUAUCUUAUUAUCUGUAUAAAAAAAAAUCAAUAUAAAAUAUUGACGUAGCUUAACCGUGACCGCACAAAAUAGGGGGGAUGGGAGUGUAUGGGAAGUGGGAGGGCAGAGAAGCCGGGUCCUAGUAGUAUAGUCAUUUUCAGUGAAUGGAAGAAUGUAGUGAUCGAUGUCAGCUAAAGGAACAUCAAACAAAUUUCGUGUGGGGUAUUCCAAUAUCGCGUAAAAAUUGACCUUUUUUAAACUAUCGUGGUAUUUUGCGUUAAAUCGUAAAAUCUCUUCCGUGACGCGAUAUUUCGCGCUAGAUUGCAAUAUCGAGUGUUUUUUUUUAAACUAUGCUCUAAACUACUUCAUUUCACGAGAAUUGAUUAAUUAAUCUAAUUCAUAUUUGAUGUGAAAUUACUAAAUUGUCAUGCUUAACCUCGCUACGUAGUUGUAAAAAAAUUGAUAUAUUUAUCUUCAAAUGAAGACUAUGUAGGAUGGAUAACAAUGACACAAGAGACAAUUAUUCUUUAAUCAGAAACAUAAAUAAUAUAAUCAAAUGGCUCAAAAUCUUUUAACACAUGUUGACAAAUCGCUGAUUACAUAUUUUGAUUCUUAAAUCAUGAUUAGGUAGCUGCAGCCGCCCGUUGGAUUAGGGCCACUACUUUGCUUCUUGCUGAUUUGGCAGCACAUGGUGUUUUCUGGAGUAAGCUUGACCAGCUACUCUAUGCAAACAAAUGAAUACAAACGACAUUAGAGAAAGAAGAACCGAACACAGAACUUAAGGUCAGUGGCGAAGACAGAAAAUCAAAUUACAACGAUCUUUAGGCUAUAGAAAGAAAUUAGUUUUUGAAGUAUAAUUUUUUUUUUGUACUCGUAUGGAAAAUUUUGAUCAAACAAGAAUGGUGGAGCUUUAAAUUUUGUAUGAAAAAUUUAGUACUGAAAUGAUUAGAUCGUAAGAGACAAAUUUAGUAUUGAAAUGAUUAGAUCGUAAGAACAAAACUUGUUUAUAGAUGUUGAUAAAAUAAAAAAAAAACACAUUCGAACAAAAGUUUAAGAUGAUGACUUUAAAAUUUGAUAUUGCUCUAGACUGUAUAUGCCUUUGUUUUAUAUUGACGGGCCAAAAAUAAGGCAAAUUAUAAGGGGUUUUUUUUCCUUUCAAUUUAAAAAAAAAAAAAAAUCUAGAAAGUGUUGGAAAGUGUUGGAAGACUAGAGAGUCCCGAGGCUAGAUGGAGUUGCAAAACCCCACUAACCAAUAAACCACAUUUUUGUAAAAGCAUGUUGAGAGUACAUACAAAAGGUUAAAAUUUCAAGAGAGGUCUGGAUUAAUAGCAUUGGUCUCCAUGUGGUUCUGUCACUGCUUAAGAUGUUGAUGUAUUGAUUAACGUCCAUAGCUAAUUGAGUGAUGUUGAAAAUUUUCAUAUAAUGAGAAUUCAUCUACGAUAAUAUCUCAAAUCACUAAUAAAUAUCGUGUAAAAAAUUUAAACACGUAAUAAUAUACCAUUGAUUAUGACCAUAACAUCUGCUUUAGAUAAAAAUAUAAUAAUUAUAAAACUGCUGCAACCAAAAAGGUCAGAUGUUCUAUCAUAUUCACUUCAUGACACAAAAGAUGGAAACAAGUGAUUGGGUAAUUAGCAUGCGACUCAAAAAGAUAUAUAAAAAAGAAAAGAUUACUUAUUAUGACAGAUCUUGAAACUUAAUUAGACUUUGGUUGCAAGCAACAGACUAAUGAAUAUCCUUUGUGGCAGACAUUAUAAUCAAAGCAUGCAAUCAUAAUUAAUCUCAGGUAAACUACAAAUAAUGAGACUUAGUUGGUCAUGUUGGGAUAUUUUCGAUACAAACUUUAGUCUGCCCUCACUCCUACAAAAUUUACAUUUUUAUACUAUUGUUUGGACCUGAUAUUAUGUCUUCGGCCUGUGUAAUCAAGGUCAUUGGAUAAAUAGAGUUCUAGACCGUUGAAUGUGAGAGAUGCUAGUUAUUGUUGGGGAUAUUUGAUCAUAAUAAUUGUCUCUUAAUAACGUAUUGAAUUAUCUUUGCACUUUCUUGUUGUUUGGGAUUGAAAUAACGGUAAAAAAUGAGUUAACCCAAUUUGAAAAGCCAUGAAACUCGGCCCAAUAAUAAUUCCUCUAGCCAAUGGGCUUUCAGCCCAAAAGAGGAUUGAUUUGACAGAGUUCUUAUGGAAGUAGGAUUGUGAAAGGAUUAAGUUUAGACGUGGCUCGGUCGAGGUGAACUGAAUUUGCCAAGGAUGAGAAAGAGCUCUAUUUAGAUGUGAAUAAUUCUAAAGAUCAAAAUUCAUUCUUCGUCCGCCCAAUCUCAGUUAUCAGUUAGUACGCCCGCAUUUACAAAAAGAAUGUAGUUAGCUCAUAGUUACUCAGCCUGCGCCACGUAAACUUUGUAAUUCUUAAAGUCAAAAAACUAUAGGGCAAUGUUAUUGAUAGUUCAAAAAUCUCAUUCUAUACUCCUCAAAAGUGUAUUUUUAUUUCCAAAUAUAGAAAGUAAGGAGUGUAGAAUGUGAAUUUUGGAGUGCUAAUAACAAUUUCCAAACUAUAUAUUAAGUAAUUAGCUAGGCAUUCGGAUCUUGGAUUCCCUCUAACAAGCAAGAAAUAAUAUAACUACAUAAGCGCGAGCCAGAAACACAAAAAUAAACCAAUCACAUAUACUUAACCAACACAAUAAUUUACUAGUUUACUUAAUAUGAGCUAUCUAUCUCCCUGAGUUGCUAUCAUAUGCAUAUUUUCACGGAGUUAAAUUACAAUUUAGAAGUGUUCAAGUAUCUUCCUCACAUGUAAGUAGUCUUUACUACAAUGGUGGAAAGAUGUUAAACUCUUGCAUGAUGGCUUGAGUUUGAACCCUAUCAGUGACUAACCUUACAUCUAACGUAAAAAAAUCGAUCAUUUGACGGGAAAAAAAAUAAAUAAAAAAAUCUUCCUCACUCACUCGUAAUCGCUCGUAAAUAGGGUUCACAGAUCAUGAAUCAUAUGACUAGUAGAAAACCAAAACACUGCAACUUUCAUGCAGUCCUCGCUCCAGUCACUCAACGGGAGCUUUCAAUCUUUCCAUAAGAUCCGACCGCUCACCUACACUACACCGACCCGUUAUUCCUCAACAUAUAACUAAACAUGCAUCAACUAAAUCAUUCAUUGAUUUCUUAUACAACUCUAAAAAUGUAUAGGCAAUCUAACAUAUAUUAUCAUGUGUCUAUCUCUCUUUUUCUGCACUGUAUAAAGUCGCUCUCCUAGCUAGGUUCUUAAAAUGGACGUGCACCGUCAAGUUUACUAUUUUAUGGGCCUCCUUUGGCAUUUCCUGUCUAAUCAUAUCGAACUAUUAGGGUUUAUUUACGAUGUCCUGUAUCGACCUAUCGGUCUGGAUCUGGUUGAUGUACAUUGCAUUUAAUUUGUAAAUUUAAUUUUUUCUUUCUUUUUUCAAGUGGGUUAUUCUUAUCAUUUAUUUAUGUCACUUCUCUAAGGCUUUUUAUAUUAGCAUCCCACAAAAUGUUGAAUGCACCCCACAUUAAAACAUAAUAUUAAUGACUUAUUUACUCUAUUAUGUAAUGACAAUUUUGACCUUAUUAGGUUUAAAAAAUAAUAAUAAUAUUAACUUUUAACGUAUUAUUUAUCUCAUUCAACUAUCAAAACUCCUCACACCCUCCAUUGUUGAAUAAAACUCUAAGCAAUGAAACUACAAACAUGUUGAUUAAGAAAAAUUAUUUUUGACGAAUGGAACACGAAAUUGAUGUUUUGAAAACUUUGAAAUCAUUAUUAUUGUUAUUGAUAAACAUUCAAAUGAACCUAAACAUUUUUUCAAAUCAUUCAAUUUCAAAUCAUUCGACAAACUAAAGUUUAGAUGGUUUGAAAUCAUUCGGCAAAAUUAAAAAUGAUUGUUAUAAGAUUUGAGAAAUGUGGGGUGUAUAAAAAAUGUGAGGUGUGUAUAGAAAAUGUAAGGUGUAUAUUAAGAAUGUGGGGUGUGAGGGUAUUAUGGGAAAGGAGGUGGGGUGUAUUAAGUAUGUGGGGUUUAUUCAACAAUUUAUGAGAUGCUAAUAUAAUAAGCCUUUCUCUAAUAGUGAUAGAGUCUACCAACGCAUGUGGAUCUAAUCUUUAUUAUAAAAAAAUAAAAAAAAAGAUAGUAAAAAUACAAUUUUUUUUUUCCUUCUCAUGACGAAACCACCAAUUCAAGAGAAAUGUUGUCCAAUAUUUGGGAAGCAAUAAUGCUAUUUAAGUAAGGACCGACUUUCACCGCCCAUUGCAUCAUUCUUCCUCCCUUGUCUUUGACUCGUUGUAAUGCGCAUGGAAUUCAUGUUUUUCAAUUCAAUUAUUGACCACUGACCGACUCCACUCUGGCCACUAGCGCGUACCCAUUCACGUUCAGUCCAUCGACAUGUCGCAUGACGCAAGAUAUUUGAAUAAAAUGUCUGUACGAAGCUGAGGAAUGAAUGAGUAGGAAGUUUAAAGUAAUUGAUCGAGUAACGUGGUUUGCGGACUUCAUCUUUACCAACUAAAAUAUACCGACACUAAAUGUUUCGUUUUUCCAACAAGAAGUGGUAACGGUAUUUCAUUGAUCGUCGCUCAUAAAUACAAGGGUGCCAAUUGUGUGCCCUGCUCCCUAAACCAUUGAAUAUGUUAGUGAUGCUGAACAAUGUGGCGUGUGAAUUUCAACUUUUCGGACGGAAUUAACAAUUACAGGCAGCGUUUUGGGCUAAAGAAGCCGGUAGGCCCAGUUAACUGUGUGGACCAAGGUCUGAGAUUGAAAUCGGUCUGUCACUAUUUGGACUAUGAUCCAUGACUUUGAGUCCUUCAUUGGAUGAGGCCUUCGUAAUAUUUUUGUUUUAUGACCGAUAUGAUAAUUUACAUUAGAUUUAUCUUGUUAUGAGGAGAGAAAUUUCAACACGAGAUCUUAGAUAUAAGGACAAAUGCUCUUAACCAAUAAAUCGUACUACUAAUUGGUUAUACAUGUAUAAUUUUACGAAAUACCAAACAUGUGACGAAGUGAAUACUCUUUCUUUAUGUCUCUCCUAGGAUACGAUCCUCUUCGGAUCCCAUCCUUCUAGAUCCUGGACCUUACCCGCCCAGCUGAAUUCCUCCUAAUUUGAGGUAAUUUAUUCACCACUUGUCUCAUUGACGGUUUCACUUCAUUGCCCAAUGCAUAUUUCAGUUAAUCUAUGAGUUUUUACCUUGUCGAAAUGCGCAAUUUCAGUAUGACGAGCUAAAGUACAUCGUCAACGACUACUACAAUAUUGCCAACUUCGACGAUACCAAUGCUUUUACUGGUAACCAGCUCCGGAAAAGGCACGACGCCAACUCGGACUUUGAAGAAUAAGGAUAUGAAGGAUUCAGAUGAAUGAAAUCUAAAGAGAAUCCCAACACAAAAAUAUCUUGUCUCUCUCAUCGAAUAGUAGUAUAUGUUUGGUUAAGGCUUUGUUCUUUCUUUUUUAAUUCCCCUCCUGACAGGACCUUAUAAUUCAAGAGGUAGAUUGUCUGCCCUCAUGUUUGGGUGCUCUUUCCAUCCCCUUCUAUUUUAUGCUGUCACGGUUAAGUUACGUUAACAUUUUAUAUUAAUUUUUUUUAUAGAGAUAAUAAGACAAAAGACAAUAAGAAUAUAAAAUGUUAACAUAGCUUAACUGUAACGUACAAAUAAAAGAAGAUGAGAAUGGUAUCCAACAAUAGUGGAAAUUCUUGGAAUUGACAUUUGCGAUGCUCAUUCUUGUGCAAUCUGAAAAUCCAGUAGCGUCAUCUGGGUUUUUUCAACAUUUAGACUAAUAUGCACACAAACAUUGACUUUCCAAUCGGAAAAGUUAAGCGUAAAUAUUUAAGUUAAUUAUGACAUUUGAUCUCAUCUUAAAAUCGUUAAAUUUCUGAUCUAAAAUAUAAAUAUUUAAGUUAAUUAUGACAUUUGAUCUCAUCUUAAAAUCGUUAAAUUUCCGAUCUAAAAUAUUGACAUGUAACUUGUGUUUGGAGUUAUUUUUGACAUUUUAUUUUAUUUUUAUUUAAUUGUUUGCGAUGGGCAAUAACGUAGGAACAACAAUAUAAGUUUAAUAUUUAUUAUUAUUUUAGAGGACAACUAUAUUUCAAGAACAUGUGAAGAUAAACUGGAUCAGAAUUAUGUCAUGUCGCUACACUAAGUUUGAUUUUUUGUUUAAGAAUAAAAAAUAUUAUCUAAUUGCCUAAUCAUUAUCAUUUUUUAGUUUGUAGAAACCCUAGAUUUUUUUGCUUUGUGCAAGACAAAUUUUUAGAAAGCGAUUGGAGAGUUGAAAUGUCCCAAAUAUCUCUAAAUAGUCAAUACUAGUUAUGUGUAAGGCACACAACUUUUUCUUUUUAAAGAAAAAUCUAACAAAAUUAGAAACAUAUGAUAAAAUAAUUUCAAAAAUUUGACACCAUAAAUCGCUUGAAGUUUUAGUUGAUAUAUGAUAUUGUUACAGAAGACAUGUAGAACAUGUGAUAUUGACACGAAACGACGUCGUCAGGCGCAUUGAAAAACUGGCAAAGGGAAGCGUCCGUUUUGACUACCGGGCAAAAUAAAAAAAAAUCCUUUUCUCUCUUUCAAACAUGGCGUGCUAUUUUUCCAUUACCAACGAUAAAUUUGACAAAAAUCCGCUACGUCAACGUCAUCGACGUCGUACACGUUCGCUCACACCAAUCUUUCCGUCCACCCGUUCACACCCUAACCAAACCUCCUCCCCCCAGUCACAGGAGAUCCCAAGCGACAACUUAACUCCUCAUCAGCCACCUCCGAUCUGAGAACUAAACGUGAGUGCGGCCGUUGCUUACAGCGUCGACGAUAAUAUCAAAGGCUCCAGCUGACCCGUCACAAUACCCAAUCUCAUCUCAGCCAUCCAUUACUUCUCGUCUUAUUAUUACACCAGCGCCACACCGUAUCAAUUUCUCUCUCUCUCUCUCUAUCUCUCUCUCUCUCUGUGCCGGCGAGGACGAAUGCGAAGUGGGGGAAGACCUCGCGACGGCUGAGUUUCUGACUUGUAACUCGUUCGGACUCGGACGCAUCGGCGCGGGCCUUGGCGCGCGAGGUUUGUUGCGACGGCAAAGGUGGCAAAAACCACGGCGGCCAUGAGAGGGAACGUGUGGAACCGUCGGACGGUACAGAGGCUGCGGCAGUUGCUGAUCUCGACCGUUGGAUCGAUGAAGGUGAAGCUUCUGCUGUGCUGUUGCAUCGGAUUCACGCUCAUCGUGCUCGCCAGUCGAGCUUCGGAUUUCAUGGGAUGGACGAGUCACACUGCGGCUCUGGAACGGUUCUCGGAUUCCCGGUUCGUACGGUUGCUUAGAUUUUUUUCCAAAAACUCUACAUAUCCGUAUUAUUCGCUAAUUAUUUAAUUAGGCAAACUUCCACUUGCACAUAACUGUUAAUCAUUAUAUUUUUAGUAAAUAAUUAAGAUCGUUGUUUAUACUUUGAUGUUCUACUUUCUGCUAAUAUCUAUAUUUAGAAGGACUGAUUCCAAAGAUUGAUUAGAGGGAAGAAAACGGCUUGGUAGUCUGCAACAAUUUCGUUUUUUCGAAUAUGAGUGUUUGAUGCUCUGUUUAUACCGGUAUUGUUCGGGUCUGUUAUGAGUUGUGGUGCAUAUUAUGAAUUAUGGAUGUUGUAGCAGGCAUGAUUCCGAUGGAAACGGAACAUUAGCUAUUCGAAGAUUUGGUCACUUUUCUGCUGGUUUUUUAGCCAGAAUGGUCGCUGAGAUUGACAUAACUCCUCACUUUGGUAUUUGAUAUUGAAAAUCGAUAGAAGUGGUCUUGAGUAUGAUUGACGGUGGACAAACCCAGGACAACUUGUAUCGAUUUUCAAUGUUAGGGACCAAAGUGAGGAGUUAUGUCAAUCUUUUUGGCUAAAAAACCCUGCUUCAACUCAUUUUCCGAAUUGGAUAAGAUUGGGAAGAUUAAGCUAGCUUUGUGUUGUUCUCAUUUGCUUCUUUAAAGAGCACACUCCUAGAAAAUUUUCAAUUGGCUUAUUGUUGAUUGUAUCAUAGUAGAGAGAUACUGUUCAUUAAGCAUCCAUGCUGAAAUUUGCAAUUUGUAUGCAGGAAAGGAUACUCUAUUGUAAUGAACACAUGGAAGAGAUAUGAUCUUCUGAAGCAGUCUAUUUCUCACUAUUCUAGAUGUCCUCGGCUUGAUUCAAUACAUAUUGUGUGGAGUGAGCCAAGUCCUCCGUCAGAUUCUCUCAGAAAAUUUCUGGACCACAUUGUACAUCUGAACACUAGAGAUGGGCGACAAGUUGAAUUGAAAUACGAUAUCAAUAAGGAAGACAGUUUGAACAACAGAUUUAAAGAAAUUAAGGAUUUGAGAACAGAUGCCCUUUUUUCAAUCGAUGAUGAUGUUAUAUUCCCUUGUUCUUCAGUGGAAUUUGCUUUCGAUGUUUGGCAAAGUGCAUCGGAUACAAUGGUUGGCUUUGUGCCUCGUAUGCACUGGAUUGAUCCGGUAUGCCUCAAUAUAUACAUUUUCUUGUUAUUUAGAGAGAGUAUUAUCCAACAUUCUUGCUGUCUUCUCUAUAUCUUAAGCUUCUAUGCUGGAAAAUUCGUAUAAAUUUCUGUUUGAGGUAGAAAGUUGGUUUUGAUCUAUUUGAGCUCGAAACUAGGUAUUGUUCUUUACUUUUUAGGCUAGCCAACGUUUACUGAAGAAACACCGUUUCUUAUUAACAAUUUUGCAAACUCUGUAUGGCACACUUGGUCAGCUGUCUUACCAAAUAUAUGCUCACUGUGCAGAAAGGUGAUAAGAAUCACUACAUAUACGGUGGAUGGUGGUCGGUUUGGUGGACAGGUACAUACAGUAUGGUACUGUCUAAGGCAGCCUUCUUCCACAAAAAGUACCUAAGUUUGUACACAAAUGAAAUGCCAGCAUCAAUCAAAGAGUUUAUAACCAAAAACAGGUUUGCACUUUUGCUUUGUUCAUCUGUUUCUUUCUUUUCGAAUGCUUUCAUCUUAUGAGCUCUCUUUGCGGGUGUGCCGGUGUGCAGUGCGUGUGUUUAGCAAAAGUUUUUUCUUAAAUAUGGGGUUUGAUUUCACCAGGAACUGUGAAGACAUUGCAAUGUCCUUUCUUGUAGCAAAUGCAACUGGUGCUCCCCCUAUAUGGGUGAAAGGUAAUCAUAUAUCCUCUGCAAUGAAAUUGUGUUCGUUUUGGCUUUUGAAAACUUGGACAGGAUGUUUCUGCAUAUUGUAUUUUCACUUGUUGCAUAUCAGAAAGCGCUUUUGCAGUACCUUUGUCCGUUCACCGUUCAUUUUUCAUUUCUAUUGUGGUAUUUUCUUUCCUGAUUGCUUAUGUCUCGCUACGCAUUACUGUACUUUUCAUUCAGGUAAAAUAUUCGAGAUUGGUUCAACUGGCAUCAGUACCUUAGGAGGUCAUACUGAAAAAAGAACCAACUGCGUCGAUAGGUUUGUUGCCGGGUUUGGACGGAUGCCAUUGGUACCCACUUCCGUGAAGGCCGUUGACAGCCGCAACAUCUGGUUUUGGUGAUUCCACAGCACGCUUACAUAUUCCUCGAUCAAAUCCUCGAACAACAAGAAUUUCCACACUUUCAACCGGUUCUUCUUUGUCCCUCAGAUGUAUAAUAUUGAAUUCUACGAAAUGUAUGCGUUUUUGUAACAGCAGCCAGUUUAGUGCGCUCAUGUAGAUUGAUAAUUCUUGUAUUCUUACCGUGUAACACAAGGCAGGCAGUCGCUAUAUGGGUAAUGAGAUAGGUCUUUCCGUGGAAAUCUUCUUACCAUUUCGGCCGAACGGUUGCGAAAUCGUAUCUUCUUAUACAAAAACUUCAUCCAAACUCAGCGUCAGAUCAUUCUUAUUGCGAUCAAACUGGAUAACAAAACUGAGAGAUUUCCAUCAACUGAUGGGUUGCAUGUAUUUAUAAUAAUUUUGAGAUUACAUCAGGGGUUUAUCAACCCUAUUUAGACGGCAACAUUUGAAUUUGAACGAUACAACAUCUGUGAAAUCAAACUUUCAAACAUUGAAAAAUAUGCUAGACCUAUCAGAAUUAUCCUUGGAUAAGGACUGCAUUCCUGAAUAACAGACUUCAGAGUUUAAACAUGAGCUGGAUUCUUGAUAACUCUGACUUGGUCUAACAUACCCGUCAUAAUUUGUCAAUUAGUUUUAUGGUGAAACCUCAAUUUCAUCAGUUACCCUAGGAUGUACUGAGAGGGAAGCAAGUAUCUUCGGCGCCAGUGCUCCAGAGGAAAUUGGCAUAUCUGGAGGCGUAAUAGGGAUUGUCUGGCUCCUCUGCCACUGCUUGCUGGUAUCUCUCUUCUGCACCCCACAGGUCUUUCCUUACUAUCCACAAGAAGUCCGCGUACCGGAUCAAAGCCUCAGCGUCUGGUUUCUCCCCUUGCACGGCACGCCUGAAGCACUCCUCGGCCCUGCAAACGCAAACAUAGAUCACACAACACAGGUCAAACAAAAUUACACGACAAUUUGAGUCCUAUCGUAUGAAAAGCAAAGAAACAAUUUGAUCCUAACCGAAAAUCCAACUCCGGUAGAGGUCUCGAUGCUACAAAAUCAUCACAAUUACAUCAUGCUUAGCUGCUCAAAUUCGAAACCAAAUCAUUUACAUAGAAAUGUCGCUUGAAGCAUCGAAAAACCUAACCAAAUCUAGUCGUUUCCCAAUGAUUUUCGGUCAAGUUAGAUUAUGCAAAAUAGUAAGCAUAUUGAAGCAGAUAGUUUGAUAAAUGAUGCUCACCUAUCGUGAUCGCGAGCCACGACAUGGAGGAAUUGUGCAUAGUUUGAGAGCAGAAGUGCAUUCUGAGGAUCCUGAGCUAAACCCAUCUGGUACAAAAGGUCAGUCCUAAAGUAGUGCUCAUGAUAAUCCGGUUCGAUAUUCACAGUUAUCGGUGACACGAAUUGCUGCACCGUUGCGUGAUCAAGAGCCUCAUCCCUCAUUUCUGACUGCCUUCUCGAAGCUUCCUCCAUCACAGAGUUCCACAACUUCACAUCCUCCUCUGCAGUGAACUCCUUAUCAUUGAACAAGGAGACACCAUACAUCUUCUCAAGAUCAACAAUGGCAUGCCUGAUUGAACUUUCCGAGGUCACAUUGUCAAGAAAAUCGGCCUUACUGCCCUCAUUCGAGGUCUUUUUCACAACCCUAGUAGAAUCGUUAUCGGAAAUAUAAUCGGGUUUCGAGUAGGGUUGUUCCUCUGUCUCAGUCUCGGUCAAAGUCUCGGCCAUAACAGGCAGAGGUGCUGCAGCAACAACAUUGCAAUUCAUCGAAUACACACUGAAAUUCGCCAGCAAGAUCAUCACGUAAACCAUCAAAGUCGGCGACCCCGAAAACACCUGCUGGAACAACCAUACAAAUGACAUGCUCAUCUCUCUCUUCUGCACCGUCGCUAUCACCUCCUGCAAAUCUUCAGAGUACAAACUUUCCCUUAUACUCAAAGCGUGGCUAUGGAGCUCAUGGAUUAUAAACACCAUGGAAGAGAAUGCCUUGUUCAGGGAGCAAGAAGUAAUCUCCCCUGCUCCUCCUUUAGGACCCUCUUCCCUUUGCUGCCGCUGCUUCUUCUUGAUUAGCCGGAGCGAAACCGGAAACUCGAGGCUGUUGGCCUUUCUUUCCAUGGCGGUUCUGACGAUUUCGCUUCUCUCCGGCCAGUCCGGCGGCUCCGGAUGAAUCCCGAGCAGAGAGGGUUCCAACGCACUGAACUUGAAGCUUGAAAACCGCGUCGAAAAGCCGCCGCCUUUGCUGUUUUCGCCUUCUGGGUAAGUCAAAAUCGGAGAGAUAUUCGAGGUCUUCGACGCCACAAAAGCCGGUUCCUCGACGUUCUCGUCACCGUCCUCGGAAAGAUUGAACCUUUGCGCCAAUCCCUCAAUCUGGUUCGACAAUUCUUCGUACGAGAAAUCAUCAAACUUUGAUCUGCAAGACUGGUUCGAAGUACGUCGACGUUUCAAAUCACCCGACCCGGAAGAGUUUAACCAACGAACGAACCCGCAACCCAGAGCUCCACUGCUUCUUCCACAUGGUUUUGUCACAGAAGGGAAAGAAACCGAAACCCACGACGCUUUCGACGAAGAAGAAGAAACUGGUGCUGAAAUCUGCAUCGUGCUCUGCCAGCUCUUAGAACAGGGUACGAUUCUGGAACCCAUAUCUCGAAAUCAACGAUCAGAAUUUGGAGAAGACGAUUGAGAAAUAUGAAAUACGGACAGGCCCAAAGCCGAAAAUUGCAAGGAAGAAGACGAGUGGGAAAAUGGAGAAAAAGCAGUUCAGUUCACACUGAUAAAGUGACAUGGGAACUCCCGUGUGCAACAAAAAGUGUAGCUGCUGGAGAUAUUUUUAAGAUAAUUUUUUUUUUUUUUGGAUUUUUUUGGAUCCUCCAAGAAGUGUCUAACUGGGUUCUAGAAGCCUCUUGAUGAAUAAGUUGCUUUUGCUUAGUAUCCAACCUGACAAAAACGCAUAAACACAUUCUAAAUUUCUAAUCAUGUUAAAAAAAUUCAAAACCUUUGAAAUCCAAAAUCGAUAAGGAUUUGGAUAUUAGCAUAUAACUCUUCACUGUUCAGUGAUAUUUAAAAUAUGAUACAUUUGGUCUCUGAAUCUGUUCAACGUCGAUUAUUUUGGUCAUUCCGUGAAAAUCUCUGUUAAAUAAGGAGAAAAUGGCAAAAAAAUUUCACGAAAAAACCAAAAUGAUUGAUGGUCGACGAAUUCUGAUACCACUUCUAUCGAUUUCAAAUUUUAGGAACAAGGUGAGUAAUUAUGCCAGUCUCAUGAACUAUUUUGGCUAAAAUUCCAAAUAUAAAUUACCGAACAAAAACAAAAGAUGUGCAGAAAAAAAGGAUGCAGUUGCAAAAAAAUUUGUUGUAUGAUAGAGAAAUAAUUUUCGCACUCAGAUUUCGACAUUAUGCACUUGUCUUGCUCUUUCUACUUAAAUAUAUCAAACGGAAAUCAACGGAAAUGAAUGUGAAUAUCACACAAUCCACGACCUCAAAUUAUUGAAAAAGAAAAUCCGAAGAAAAAUUUGGAAAACAAGGAAUGAAAAAAACAAUGUGUGAGAUGAAGAGAACAUUACAUGAUGGGAGACGAUUAUUUGGAGAUCAUUUCAUGAUUUCUCUAAACCAUUGGAGCCAUCGAGGAGCAGACAACCUCACCUUCAAAUUUGUACUUGUAUUUUCCUUCUUUUCUUUUCUUUCUGUUGGAAUUGACAGAGAGACCCAAAAAUUUUGUUGAGAAAAAAUGGGCAAAAGAUGGGAAGAACCAGAAUAGGUUACAACUUUUUCAGGUUCUUUGUUUGUUGGCCGUAGAAAGGUAUCACACUUACGUGGACAAUUCCUAUUGGUUCAUUUCGAUGAUCAAUUACUUUAAGAUUUUUUUCCCUUACCACCGUAUUUAUCAUGUUUGAUGAGUUUAAAUUUCGAGAUUUAUACAGUUGAUAAAUACAAAUUUUAAAAUUUAAACUCAUAUAUUAGUGAUAAAUAAAGGGGUGUGAAUUACAACUACUUAAAGAUGAUCAGCAAAAAUAUGCUCACUACUUUAUAUAAAUAAGUUCGUAAAUAAUUUUUUCGAAAAAAUAAGUUCUUAAAGUUUUUAGUGAGUGUAACCUGAGACUUGUGGUUUCAAUACAAAUAUUAUUCGUCAUCGUCAUUCGAGCUGAACUUGAAUUCUUUCUGUCACAUUGAGAUAAAUUUAGUGAAUUUAAUAACUUUGUGUAUUGAAAAAUAGUUUAGGAAUUAAAUUUUAAGUUAAUUAAAUAAAAAGAAAACUAAUAAAAAGAACUUGAAAAUUUUGAAUUUUAACGAAAAGAACAAAAUAAAUAGUAAAGUGAAUAGUAUCAGGAUUAACUUUUUAUUUUUUAGUGUAAAAAUAUGAUUUUUCGUUAAAGUAAACAGUACUGAAAGUUUUUCGUUAAAAUCAUCUUAAAUGAAUUAGUUUAUAAAAAUAAAUAAAAAUCCAAAAUUUACAAGUUUGCCAGAAAACAAAGGGAUUAUCUUUUCCGUGUAUAAUGAUUGCAGUCGGUAAGUUUCUUUUGAUAGAAAAAGGUUACAAAUUUGUGGAGUAUGUCGUCACAGUACCGAGUCACAUGCUAGGAGUCAGGACCAUGUUUUUCUCCAGAUGCAGCUGCAGUUGUCGAUGCUACCGACUCAACUACACACGUCUCACCACGAUACGUGGACAUCUGUUGCUGUGCGGUUGGCUCCAACAAAUUGUUUGCACCGCAGAAGUAAAAAGAAAACCAAAUUCAAAACCUAAAAGAAGAAAAUCAUGAAACUCUUGGAUUGGAAAUUGCAACCCAAAUGUACAAAGGAAUGGCAAUAUCUUGAUAGGUUGGCUUGUAAAAAAAAUGGUCAAUAGACCUAAACUGAUAAGAAAAACACAUUGGAAAAAUCUUAACAAUCAAUGAGAAAAACACCUUGGAUUAAUCUAAUUUUUGUGCGUGUGUGUUCAAAUUGUUCCCAGUAAAAAAAUAAGCCCAAAACCCACUCGGUAAAUAUAGACAAUGAUGUUCCUUAUCUUUGUAAGCAAUAACAUAAAAGAGGUAACGACAAAAGGAGCAGGCGGUCGACGUGUGGGAUCCCAGCCUGGAAUUUCCAGGGUUGCGUCAUGCGUGAGCAAAAUUCCCAUAUUUUAUAUUUUCCCAAGCUCAAGCUCAGCCGCCCCAUUGACCAAAAACAAAAAAGGCUCAGCCGCCUCAGCAUUAUUCACCAAUAAGUUCACAGGUCACAAGCUACGAUUGUGGAUCCAAAAAUGGAGCAAAGCAAAGGCAGGAGAGUCAUCCUCUUCCCACUGCCCUUCCAAGGGCACAUAAACCCUACGCUAGAACUGGCCAACAUUCUGCAUUCCAAAGGCUUCUCCAUAGCCAUCAUCUACACCAACUUCAACUCCCUCAAUCCUUCAACCCUAAAUCCACACUUCACCUACCAUUCAAUCCCUGUUGACUUGACAGAAAACGAAAACUCCAUCAAGGAUCCCACCCUUCAUCUUUCUAUUCUAAAUGCUAAAUGUGUUGAGCCUUUCAGAGAAUGCUUGGCCGGGUUGUUAUCCGACGAUGUUAAUUCGGGAGGACCCCAUUGCAUGCUUGAUCACGGAUCCUAUCUUCGACUUCACUCGAUCGGUUGCAGAGAGCUUUAAGCUGCCGAGGAUCGUGUUAAGGACCGGGGGUGCCGCUUCCUUCGCUGUUUAUGCUGCAUUUCCACUUCUCAAGGAAAAGGGUUACCUACCAAUACCAGGUACAAUCUCAAGCCAACAAAACCCUAUUAUCAAAUGUUUUUUUCUCAUCGUUGUUACUAAUAAAUGCAAUAUGAGUAGAUUGAAAACACCACACCGAGACUAAUGACUCGUUUCAAAUUAUUUUUAUACGUAGCACUUUUAUUCUUUGUUCAUAAGAGAUUAUGCAAUAUGUACUUUUAUUAUAAACAUGUCAUUAUUAAAAAAGAAAAACUAAUGAAAAUGGAUUGAAAACUUUGAGUUUUAAUGAUAAGGAUAAAAUAAAGGGUAAAGUAAAUAGUACCAGGUUUGAUUUUUUAGUGUAAAAAUAUGGUUUUCAUUAAAGUGAACUGUUGGCUUUUUGUUAAAACUCCCUAUUAAAAACUCAGGUGAUUCUUUGGAAAAAAAAACUUCAAAGUGAUUAUUAUUCUAGUUCGUCUUCUUCUUCUUCAUAAAUCACUCUAUAGAUCCAAAAAUGUUUUUGUUACCAGAAAACACUUUUAACACUUCUAGAAGUGAUACUAUUUUGGCACUUAGACAACUUAUCCAUAUUUGAGUUAGGCUAAUUAGUCAGUUUAGCAUUUUUAUUCUUUGCUCUACCUCCUCAUAAAUUAGCAUUUUAGGAUAUGCAUUAAAAGGCAAAAUAUAUAUACUUGCUAGGAACCUUAUAUUUGGCUUUUUAUUUUGACAAUUAGAUUCUCGACUAGAAGAGCCAGUGACGGAACUUUUACCUAUCAAAGUUAAAGAUCUACCAAUGAUGGCUGAUUGUGACCCUGAAGAUUUCUAUCAACUGAUAACCAACAUGGCAAAUGAACCCAAGGCUUCUCAUGGACUCAUCUUCAAUACUUUUGAAGAUCUUGAAGGACAAGAACUUGCCACACUUCGCCAAGAAUAUUACCCCAAUAUUCCAAUUUUCUCACUAGGGCCAUUUCACAAGUGUGGCCCUACAACCUCUUCUUCUUCAACUAGUUUGUUAGCACAAGACCAAAGUUGCAUUUCAUGGCUAAACACUCAAGCGCCAAAAUCUGUUGCUUAUGUUAGCUUUGGGAGCAUUGCCGAGAUAGAUCAAGUUCAAUUUUUGGAGGUUGCUUGGGGGUUGGCCAACAGUGGCCAACCUUUUUUGUGGGUGGUUCGACCUGGAUUAGUUCAAGAGUCGGAUUGGCUUGAAGCGUUGCCUGACGGGUUUCUAGAAGCGUUGAACGAGAGGGCCCAUGUCGUGAAAUGGGCUCCACAAAAAGAAGUGUUGGCCCACCCAGCAGUCGGAGUCUUUUGGACACACUGUGGUUGGAAUUCUACAUUGGAAAGCAUUUGUGAAGGCGUACCUAUGAUUUGUACGCCAUGUUUCAGUGAUCAAAUGGUGGAUGCAAGAUUUGUGAGCGAUGUUUGGAAGGUAGGGUUGCAAUUGGAGCAUGGGAUUGAGAGAGGUGAGGUUGAAAGAACAAUUAGAAGACUGAUGGUCGAGAAAGAAGGGGAAGAGAUCAAAGAGAGAGCCUUAAAGUUGAUGGAAAAGGCAAAUCUUUCCCUCAAAGAAGGUGGCUCUUCAUACCAAUCUUUAGAUGGCUUGGUUAAUCAUAUUUUAUCCUUAUAAAUCGUUUGUUUUUGAAGAUGGUAAUCCAUCAUCUUUAUCAUAUCCUUUGGAAUUUUUCCAUUUUUUUCUCUUGCCCGCUUACAAAUGGUUAAUUAUCUUUUUCUUUAUACAAGCACUAUUGAUGAAAUAAUUAUCAACCCAUUAUAAAUAGUCAACCUAGUAGUGGAUCUAAUUAUUAAAGGUUAGACUAGAGAGUAAGUUGAUCAUCGAGAGGAAUGAGGUUCAAGCCAACAUAACUAAUGAAUCAGCCGAGCGGAAAACUAACUUAGUUGAUUAGAGAUCCCAUGGUCUAAGUUCAAUAGGCAAAUUGGUUGGACAUGAUUCAAAGAAGUUAACACAUUAUAUACCUCAUUCCUAUUAUGGAAGAAGUGUGUUGUCUGCAGACGUUUUAGGUUGUAUAUUUAUACUUAAUGACAGUGAUAUCUUAUAAAUAAGAGGAAUAGAGCAAACUAUUUUUAAUCAGUGAUCACCUAUGUGAGAGUAGAAAUGAGUUGCUUCUAUGAGUAUGAGAUGGCUAAAUUCUCUAAAGCUCUCAUGAAUCCGGGAUUUGUUCAGGACCAAAAUGAACACAAUCGUAUGAACCGGAAUAUAUUAGGAUUAGUGAUGUGUAUUGCUUAUUGUCUCGGUUUACUGUUGUGGUGAAGUGUUCAAGAUUCCAUAUCUAUUGCAUCACCAAGUAAAUCCAUUAAGUAUUCACCAGGGUAGGUUCAAGUCCAAAAGACACAUUUCCCGAUGCAUCUCUUGUCAUCAUGUACUCUCAAAUUCUUCCUAAUUUUUCAGUCAUGUGGGGGAUUGUGGGAAAUUAUAUAUUAUAAUUAAUAUUAUAAUAUUUAAUUUUUGUAUGAAUGAAAAAUAAAAGUCAUGUGUCAUAGUUGAAUUCAAACUCAUGAGUUGUAUAUGUUCGUUGGAACUUUAGACAACAGUCAUACUGUUUCAAAAAGGGUGGCUUGAGUUCUAUAUAAACUCAAGCAUCCCACGUGUCUAAUAGAAUUAAGAGAAGAGUUUUCUCCAAUGUCUUUGUAAAAAUCUGAGUCGUAUCUUAAGGGUAAAUAAUAUAUGAAGUUCGCCAGAGUCCGAAGAUUGAAGUGUUUUGACUUCGGAUUAUAGAUCGUUGAAUCCUGUGUGACGAACGCCUACCGAACUACAAGCAAAGAGUAGGGACGAAACUAUGUCUUUAGGACAUUACAUUUAUGCAAGCCUCAAUCUCCAAGUUUGUCAGUUUUUCUAACUUUCUCUCUCGUUGUUUAUAUUAAUUUUGUACACAUGUGAUGUUGUGAAUCUUUUUAUAAUAAUUAUUAUUGUAAUUGUUGUUAUUUUCAUAUUUUCUAAUAUUGAAUACCCAUAGAUUUAUUAAAAAAAUUAAAAUCCCUUAAAAUUCCAAUUGAAUACACCUCAAAGGAAAUAUUUCAAGAUGUUCAUAGAUUUGAGUAUAAUAAGUGUACACGUACGAGGAUCAAUUCGAUCACAAUACUCUCGGUCAAAACAUCACGAAGAACAUCCGGUGUUUCCUCAAACCAACACAACAGUAAUCUAUAUGAAGAGAAAAACCAUGUUCAGUGAGCCGUUGCAGCAGCACCUUCGGAUCUGGAGGGACUUCAGUAUGUUACUUCAUAGCUUCACAUUUUCUAUUUUGGACCCAAGAGCAAUUCGGGCCCAUCUCCCUAAGUAAUUUGGUAGAAGCCCUAAGUAAUUUGGUAGAAGCCCAAGUCUUCAGUCCACUGUCUUUCACUUGCAAAACUGAGUUGCGCCCUAGUUUUUGUUAGCGUGAGUCAAACAUAUUUUGUAUUUAUUUUGAAUAUUAUAAUUCUCUUCUUAUUAGGAAUUUCUUGUAUACUUAUUGGAUUCUAUAUCACCCCUCCUAGAGAGCAAAAUACAUUAACCCAAAUUAUUUGACUAGUUUUUAUCUGUUUUUCGUUCUACAUUUCAGUUAUGGAUGAAUCUCCAACGUGGAAAUCAUUAACAAAUGCGUUGUCUUAGUUCACUUGGACAAUGCGUUGUCUUAGUUAAGUGAGACGAUGCGAUUCGCUCCUAAAAUAGAGUUAGAGUACGAGCUACAUGAAUCGCCAUCAAAUUUCAACUAAGUCUAAAUGAGCUGAUAUACCUACCCCGUUGCAAAUUUUCAUAACUUACGUUGUAGACAACCGAUAUUGAUAUAUCAUCAAAAUUUUCAUAAAUUUGCAUAUCAAUAUUUAAAACAUUAGUUGUGCCCUAGUUUUUGUUCACGAGAGUCCAUAUUUAAUAUUAUAAUUCCCUUUUUAUUAUUUAGGUAGUUUUCAUUCUACGUUUGAUUUAUGGAAGAAACUCGAACGUAAAAACCACAAACAAAAGUAUGGUUUUAGUUGAGUAAAAAUCACAAACAAAAAGUAUGGCUUUAGUUGAUUGGGACAAUGCGUUGUCUUAGUUAAGUAAAACGAUGCGAUUCGCUCCCUGAAUAGAGGCAGACUACAAGCUACAAGAAUCACCAUCAAACAAGCAUGCAUUGUUCUCCCGGGCUCAUAGCAUUGGCUUUGAUAAAUAACAAAUGAAAUAUUUUAUAAGAAUUGGUAAUAUUUUACAAGAUCUGAUGAUCCAAAAACAAAACUAGAAAUAACAAAAAUCCCAGGACGGGGAAAAGCAGUAAAAAGAAUAUUCGCAUUCAGGAGUUUACAAGUGUCGGUCCAACACAACACGAGUUGGCAGACCGAGUCAAUCUCCAACCCCCAAAUCAGUCAAGGCUUCUGUCUCUCACUGUUUCCGCCUGUCUCCGCCGUGUAACCCGUGAUUCAAACUAUCCCCCAAAAACGUCUUCGCCGCGUCCAAGCUCGGAAAAUAAGUCGGCUCCAGAAAUAUCCGACUCAGCGAGUCACACGCCUCCGGACUCACCACGACUUGGUUCCCCUUCGCCUCCAAGCUCCCCAUCAACACCACCAGCACCUGCUUGUACGCGUAGUAGAAUCGCUUCAAAGCCGACUCAAUCGCCUGAAGCGCCUGCAGCAAGUGGAUCUUCUCCGAGACGGAUUCCGAGUCUGACUCGGCUUUCUUCUCCGAGUACAGCCUCAUCGCCGCCUCCUGAAUCCUGGGCCCUCCCUUGGGGUCCACCUCAACACCCAGUAUGUACGGCACCUUAUGCCUCAGCUCCUUGCAGAGCUUCGUCACCUCCACGAGCGCCUUCGAUCUGAAGCAAAACGACUCCGUAUCGUCCACUGUCUUGAUCCGCAGCUGGUUCUUCAGCCUCAGAAAAUCGGCCGGGUCCAUCAGAAGGUGAAGAUCCUCCAUCUCCGCGAGGAGCUUCCAUAUCCGUUCGAUCACGUAACAGUCGCUCGCGGCCUUUUCCAAGUCUCGAGAUUCGAUGCGGCUUACCACGCGCAUGAGAAGCUCCCGGCAAACGUGGACCCACGACUCGAGGACCUGGUGCGUGGCGUACACCGUCUGGUUCUCGUAGUUGUCGACAUGGGCGUCGUACGGGCUCUUCCUCAGGGAAUGCAGCUCGCUCGGCUUGCAUACGGCGUCGUAAUCCAGGUUCGGCUUCCCGGCGAGGUUCGGCUCCCCCAGGCCCAACGAGUACGGACAGUUACUCAUCUCGCACUCGAUCGAGUACAGUAUCUUCUGCGCCAUCCCUUCCGAUUUCUGCCACGUGGCGAGCCGAGGUAGCAAGCUGACCUCGCUGGUGCGGCUGACCACCGUGUGCUCCCCCGAACUCCACACCUCCGCCAUGCUCCCGUCGCGGGCCAGCUCCCCGUUCGACGUGCUGAGAUCGACGAUCGGCGCCAAUCCGCGCGUCUCGCUGUCUUCCUCGUCGUCCUCGAUCAACAUCGCGAUGAGCUGUAUCUGGCUGGUAGAGAGCGACUCAAGCCGGCGCUUCCACUCGCGCCGGUUUGAGUACGGUCUAGGGUCGGACAAAACGGUCGAGACGAACCGGAACGAGAUUUCGAGAGCUUGGAGAGCCGGCUUGAGAAUCGACUCGUUUUUCCACGAUGGAAAGUCGUGGGAGCUCCAGAACUCUCGGAGCUCCGGGAGGCGGAGGUAGUGCUCGUAGGUGGAGCAGGACAUUUCGGAGGCGGCGGAAAUAUCGGUCUGAACUUGGGCGGCGGAGCGAAACGAACCGGGAACCGAGACGUGGAGCUUGGUGGAGAGUUUGGAGGAUUUGCUGGGUAUGUUGGAGGAGACCAUCUUUGCUUUCCAAUCUAAAUCUACCAUUUGAGACUUGUGAGAAGAGAAAUGAAUUUUGAAAACGUUUUUUUUUUUUUCGUUUUUUGAGAACUUUUGGAUUUAGGAUUUGAGUUGUGUUUGAAACGAAGGAGAGAAGAGAGGGGGGUAUUUAUAGGGCAGCGGGAAUUGGGGAGAAGAAAAGGCGUGUGGAAUUUCGGGGUGGUGGGUGGGCAUGAAGAACGACGAAUUUGAAAGUCGUUUUUGGAAAUUAAAUUUAAAUAAAUUUAAAUAUAUAUAUAUAUUUUGGACACUUGAAGCUUAUCCAUAUCACCGUCUGCUUGUCCAAUUUAUUCAUUCAUUUUCUUAGUGUAUUAUAUCGGAAUAGAUUCUUUUCACCAAAUUCAUUAAAUUAAAGGAUUCAGAUUUUUGAAAUUUAAUCCAACGGUUAAAGUUAUUAUAACUUUUUAAGAAAUGACUUGUUUUUAACAGUUCGAUCAAAUUUUAAGGACUCGGAUCCUCUAAUUUGGUGAAAAGAAUCCGAAGAAGAUCCAUUUCUUAUUAUAUCCAUGUACAUAAACAAAUAAUUGUAUUCUAAAGCCAUCAUGUUAGGAAUUGUUUGGAGAGUGCUUUUAAAUAAUUGAAAGUAUUUUUAAACAAAAUAUUUUUGAAAUCAAGUUUUAGUAAAAAUACAAGUUAAUUUUGAAAAAAAAACACUUGAAGUACUUCAUUCAAUGAGCACCAUAACUGUGCUUCUUGCAAGAACACUUCAAACGCUUUCAGAACCCAAAAAUAAUUUCUCUAAAAAACGCUUUCAGUCAUCAAAAUACACUUCCCAAACAAGCCGUCAUUGUUUUAUUUAAAGACAUUUUUUUUUAAUAUAUUCUUCAAAUGAGACAUAUUAAUUUGGUGAUAUGUGUAUUAUUAUACGCAUAAUAGUAACAUAAUAUGACUGUGUUUAUGAUGUACGAAAAAUUUCUCAAAAAAUGGAGAAAAUAAAUAAAAAUUAGAAAUAAUGAAGAAUAAGAAGAGGAGGAAGGAAACUGCGUAUAUAUGUUUGAAAUGGAAUUGUCGAACGUUUGACUUUGGUCAACGUUAAGCGACGUCCAUGAUCCAUCUACAAUGCUAAACUGUUUUUUAAUUCUUCUUUCGAAAUAACACGUUUUCUUUCUGUCUCCACUAUACACCCGACUUCCUAAUUUUAAUGACAGCUUUUUAAAUUGCCUUAUUAGGUAAUAAUAAUUACGCAUUGAUUUACGGCUAUAUGUAAUUUUCUUUGUUAUUUUUUUAUUUAAAAAAAUGGAGAACUGGUGGCAAAUCAUGAUUAUCUAUUAUUUUCGAGAGCUGGGAAGACUCACAUAGAUAUUUUAGUUUCCUCUAACCACAAGUCUAACUUCCACACCAGCAGCGGGUUUCGAACUCGAGACCUCCAAUUUUUAGUUUGAAUGGGGAACAAUUUAGCUGACUGAUUUCAAGUGGUAAUGAUGCUCAUUAUCUUAUUUACCACUGUUAGAUAAGUUUAAAUUUGAAAUUUGUAUAGUAAAUGAACAUAAAUUUUAAAUUUAAACUCAUCUAUGGUAAUUAAUAGUGUUGAUGCACAAAACCGGAGGGGUUUUGGAACAAUAUAAAUCCAACCGUGAAUCUGCAAGAAAGUAAAUAACACAAGAUGUAUCAUGGUUCACCCCAAUGUUUGGACUACGUCCACACUUAUGUUGAUAUUGUUUCACUUUGAAUGGUGAAUAUACAAGAAGGCUAGAGGCAGUGUACUCUCUAGCCUAUUUUCUGUGUUUGCUCUCUCUGAGGUGUUUUCUCUCUUCCCAUGGCCUAAACCUUCACCUUUUCCAAUGAGGAGAGUGAGGAGUCCUUUUAUAGAAUAAAGGCUCAUCACUUAUUACAUAUUUGCCCAUUCAUUUAUUACAUAAUUACAUUUGAGGCAUCCGAGUAUUUAUACGAGGUCUAAAUACAGAGGCUCUAAAUAUGGUACAAACAGUAGUCCCCCAAGUCUUCAGUCAAGAGAGUCUUUUGGCUGGAGAUUUGAAACUUAGUCCAUGUGUGGGCUGAAGUAACUAGAUGUCGUCUAUAACUGAUACUCGAUAUGAGGCGGUGCUCAAUGUGAAAUGAUGCUCAACUAGAAGUAGCACAUGUUGCGAGGCUGCUCGGCUUGUGGCUUAUGUUGCCUUGGUUGGCUUGGCUUGUGGUGUUGAAGGUGAUGGAGUCCCUUUUAUAGAAUAAGGGUUCGCUCCUCAAUACAUAAAUGAUGGGCUAGAGUUGAUACUCGGGCCAGGCAGUUGCUCAGCAGGCAGCAAUGCUCUCUAAUGAUGGUGAGGGAUUCCCUUUUAUAGAAUAAGGGCUCACUCCUCAAUACAUAAGUGAUGGCUAAGAGUCUCUCUUUAAUGAAGGUGAGGGAGUCCCUUUUAUAGAACAAGGGUUCGCUCCUCAAUAUAUAAAUGAUAGGUUAUGAGUGAUGCUCACGGCGAGGCGGUUGCUCAGCUGGCGGCGAUGCUCUAUAAUAAAGGUGAUGGAGUCUCUUUUAUAGAAUAAGGGCUCGCUCCUUAAUACAUAAAUAAUGGCUGCUCUUUAAUGAAAGUGAGGGAGUCCCUUUUAUAGAAUAAGUGUUCGCUCCUCAAUACAUGAAUAAUGGGUGCUCUCUAAUGAAAGUGAGGGAGUCUCUUUUAUAGAAUAAAGGUUCGCUCCUCAGUACAUAAAUAAUGGGCUAAGUCCCCCAAGUAUUUUUCAUGAGGCCCAGUUGCGGAUGCCCUAAAUAUAUGGUACAUAGUGUAGUCCCCCAAGUCUUCAGUCAAUAGAGUCUGUUGGCUCGGCUUGUGGCUUAUGUUACCUUGGUUGGCUCGACUUGUGGCGUUGAAGGUGAGGGAAUCCCUUUUAUAGAAUAAGGGCUCGUUCCUCAAUACAUAAAUGAUGGGCUAGAGUUGAUGCUCGCGGCGAGGCGGUUGCUCAGCAGGUGGCGAUGCUCUCUAAUGAUGGUGAGGGAGUCCCUUUUGUAGAAUAAGGGCUCGUUCCUCAAUACAUAAGUGAUGGGCUAAAAGUCUCUCCAAUGAAGGUGAGGGAGUCCCUUUUAUAGAAUAAGGGUUCGCUCCUCAAUACAUAAAUGAUGGGUUAAGAGUGAUGCUCGCGGCAAGGCAGUUACUCAACUGGCGGCGAUGCUCUCUAAUGAAGGUGAGGGAGUUCCUUUUAUAGAAUAAAGGUUCGCUCAUCAAUACAUUAAUAAUGGGUGCUCUCUAAUGAAAGUGAUGGAGUCCAUUUUAUAGAAUAAGGGUUCACUCCUCAGUACAUAAAUAAUGAGCUAAGUCCCCCAAGUAUUAUUCAUGAGGCACAGUUGCGGAUGCCCUAAAUAUAUGGUACAUAGUGUAGUCCUCCAAGUCUUCAGUUAAUAGAGUAUGUUGGCUGGAGACUUCAAAUUCAAUCCAUGUAUGGGCCGAAGUGGCGGUUGUUCAAAGGUGGUCUUUGUAUACCAUGCACUGAAGCUUUGUAAGUGAAGCUUUCAAAGUUGGAGAUUUUGUAAAUGAAGCUUUCGAAGAUGGAGCUCUGUAAAUGAAACUUUCGAAGCUGGAGCUCUAUAAAUGAAGCUUUCGAAGCUAUAACUAUGUAAAUGAAGCUUUCGAAGUUGGAGCUCUGUAAAUGAAACUUUCGAAGCUGGAGCUCUAUAAAUGAAGCUUUCGAAGCUAGAGCUAUGUAAAUGAAGCUUUCGAAGCUGGAGCUCUAUAAAUGAAGCUUUUGAAGCUGGAGCUCUGUAAAUGAAGCUUUCGAAGUUAUAGCUCUGUAAAUGAAGCUUUCGAAGCUGAUUGACAUGAGUGAAGUUCAUGGAUGUUGACAUGAGUGAUGCUCAUGAAUGUUGACAUGAGUGAUGCUCAUGAAUGUUUAUGUAUGAUUGAUAUGAGUGAUGCUCAUGUAUGAUGGUGAUUGUCAUAAGUGAUGCUCAUGUAUGAUUUUUUGGCGGACGGGUUGUACUUUUAAUUACCUGGUUGGUGAUAAUAACGGCAUGCUGCUGAAUAAUUUUGAAGUACUGGACGUACUUUUGAUCACCUGGUUGGUGAUAAUAGCGGUAGGCUGCUAAAUAAUUUUGGAGUACUUGACGUACUUUAUAAUUAGUUAUCCUAACACAAAUAAAAUAAUAAGAUAUUAAAUAAACAAUGAUAUUGAGAAAACAUAAUGAUGGGUUUCUUUCAAGCAUGGCCGAUAGUAAUUAUAUAAUUAAUAAUAGAAUGAUAACAGAUGGCAGACGGAAUAAAAACUUAUCUUUCUUUUGAAUUUGGUGGUCUGUAGCUUUUGAUAAAGCUUCAUGCACGUUCUAGGCUGGGAAGGUUGCUUUUAGUAGCUAGCAGAUGUUGGAGAAUGGACUCACUGCAGGACCGGACCACUUCUUUCCACUUUCCUCCUCAGCUUUUCUCCAUCUCCAGACAUUUUUUUUCUUUCUAUAUUCUUUUCUUCCCUUUUUCUUUUUUCUGCUACAUUGCAGGUUUACAACAUGGGUGAGCAGCGUAAGAGGAUAAGCUUUGUCAGAAGCUAAAACGCAGCGUCUCGAAGCUCAGAGACUCACUGGGUUGAGAUUCCAAACUCGAAGGAUCUGAGUUGGGAGCUGGAAUCAUGAGAUGAAGAAAGAGAUGAUCAUUAAUGAAGCAAGAAGCAUCAGGUCCACCGUGUCCGUUGAGAUACUAAAGACAAUGUCUCCAGUUCUAGUGUCGAUGUCGAAGAAGCCGACGUCCUGUUUCAACACGACCUCCAGAUACUUCUUCUUCAGCGUGUUCACCUGUCUCUCACCGGUGUACAUCCAGUAUGCAAUCUCUGCGUAGGAUGUUACGCAUACUAUGAGAUCGAGAUACACAAAGUACAGAGCAUACUUUGCUACUUCUGUGGUCAUUUUCUACAAAUUCAUUUGGUUUUCGCCGAACCCGCUAACCAUUUCCUCGAACAUGAGGAAGAACACCGGCAUGGAGGAGCCGUGCACGACGGCGCCCAAGCUUUCAAAGAUCAUGAGGAGCCAAUCGUACUUGUCUGCAAAGGAGAACAACUGGAAAAAAAGGGUAGGCUCUGCUCAUUCAUCUUCUCCGCCUCCGAGAAUGUCUUUGCCUCCGCCAUUGCAGCAGCUCAGCUACUAAUGGGUGGCCGGAGCAAACAAUUAGUAAUAAAGUGAACCUUGCCACCAGUUUCCUCUCGAAGCACUAUUUGCAUCGUCCUCACUGCCAUCUUUCUUAGAAGUAUGAUGCUGAUGGGAUUCAGUGGUCCCAGUUCUUGGACUAUAAUUUUCUUGGCCGCCAUAAUAGAUAGAUGAACUCAGGUUGCAUGGAUCCGUAGCUUCGUUUUGAUACAUAUUGGAAGCUUUGCUGGUUUUGUUUUCACCCUUAUUAUCAGAAAAACUUGGACUCCCGUACAUACUAGCUUGAUCUCCAAAAUCCUGCCUUCUCUCUUUCCCAACUCCCGUUGAGGGGACGGGUGGGAAAAUGGAGCCAAAGAAUCCGGAAAGGGGAUAAUGAAGAAGAUGACGACGAGUCUUUGAGACUAAAUAAAUGAUCCAGACUCCUUGAUGAUGACGAAGAAGAAGAAGAGCCAUGGCUUGCACCACUUCCCACUUUCUUCUUGUUCUCUAUCGUAGUUAAUUAGUGAACUGAAGCUAAAGCUGGUAUGUUACAAAAGCUGCUUUCAGCUUUGUCAACCAACGAACAUAUUCUAACUACUGCUUUUUGAUAGUUGUUGAUAGUUAUCUCUUAAUGGUCAAAGACUCAGAAGCAGAGAUUGGAUAAGGUUUGCAGAAUAAGGAUUCAGAAACCAACAACUUAAAGAGAUAAAAUUGGAGGGAGGGCAGAUAGGAAGCAGGAAAGAGCACGUGAAGUUUUGCAGAUGUCUGAAAAUUGGCCGAGGAAAUCGCAUCGUUGAAAUCCUUAUGCAUCUGCAGAUUCUAGUCUUUUUUAAAUCCCUGGUUGCAGAUCGAGUAGGAUCUCGAGUUGUGUAGAUUCAUGGUGGACAAUUAUGAAGUUUUCACGGUGGUGAGAUGAAAAAAUGAAAGAGAACCGACAUAACUUUUCGUGUCGUUUCCCACAGAAGGCGCCAAAUGUUGAUGCACAAAACCGGAAGGGUCUUGGAACAACAUAAAUCCGACCGUGAAUCUGCAAGAAAGUAAAGAACACAAGAUGUAUCGUGGUUCACCCCAAUGUUUGGGCUACGUCCACACUGAUGUUGAUAUUGUUUCACUUUGAAUGGUGAAUAUACAAGAAGGCUAGAGGCAAUGUGCUCUCUAGCCUAUUUUCUGUGUUUGCCCUCUCUGAGGUGUUUUCUCUCUUCCCAUGGCCUAAACCUUCACCUUUUUCUAAUGAGGAGAGUGAGAAGUCAUUUUAUAGAAUAAGGGCUCCUCACUUAUUACAUAUUUGCCCCUUUAUUUAUUACAUAAUUACAUUUGAGUUCCUCGAGUAUUUAUACAAGGUCUAAAUACGGAGACCCUAAAUAUGGUACAAACAAAUAGGAUGAUGAACGCUACCACUAUUUAAGUAUAAACUUUUAUUUGAUAAGGUUAAGCUAAAGUUAGAAAGGUAGUUUAAUAUUUCUUUUUCUGGAUAUGUCUUACAAUCUAAUUGUUAUUACAAAUUACACUUUAUCGAUAGGUCGUCUAUUGAUUAGAUAAUUGUUUAAUAUUUCUAUACUUUUAGCUCUUGAGAAAGUUUUUAAUUUGUCAAAAAUAUGACUUGGUAUAUUAUGUCAUCAUACAUAAAGAGAGAUACUUGAAAGUACAAUUGUCUUUCUUUAGAUAAUAACAUGUGGUGUGUUGAAUAUCAGAAUACGCAACAAACGAGACUAACAAAAUAAUAGGAAUAUUAUUAAACUAACUGAUAAUGCCGGAACGGCUACAAAGCCCUAAGAGACUACAUUGUGAAUAACUUGAUUUCUAAUGAAUAACAAAGCACUCUAUUUAUAAUAAACUAACCCUAAACCCUAAUGCUAACGGGCUAAGCCCAGAAAACCAAAUAUUAAAGUAAACCUAAAUACUAAUAUUUUCCAACACCCCCCGUCAAACUCAUGGCGGUAUACGACAUGGGUUUGCAAACAAGCAGAUGCGGACUGGCUCCGUUAAGCGGACAGACAGACAGGCAGGCGUUGCCGCAACGCGGACAGACAGACAGGCAGGCUCUGCAACGCGGACAGACAGACUCCGCAACGCGGACAGACAGACAGGCAGGUACGCAAACUUGACUUGACUUGAUUCUUGACUUGAUUCUUGAUUGCAAACUGGCAAAUUGGUUCUUGAUUCUUGACUGGCUAGUGUUGAGAGUAUGAAAAGAACCCGUCACUAAACGGACGAGAUUUUCAUAUUUCAAUUCUAGCAACGAACAAACAAACACAAAUACUAUCACUCGAAUGGUCACAAUUCCAAGUACUCAAAUGACGAUCAUAAAACAAUUCCAAACAGGCCAACCAACAAUUCAUGGAGGCCUAAAACAAACUUAACCAUACUUUCCCUGCCCGUGUGGGCCCAUAAACAAACAGCCAAUUUUUUUUUCUUUCUCCUGGGACUUUUCGAAUGCUUUCCUCCAACAAACAACAUAACUUUUUCUUGCAUUGGACAAUAGUUUUUCUUUUUCUUUCUUUUCCUUUUUAAUAGAAAAUUAACACAACAAAAGCAAGAAUGGGUACUGGUGAAUGGUUCAGACGAACGGCUGGGACUGGGUUAGGUUGCAGCGAUGCGGGUGUGAGUCGGGUUGAUCUGAUAUGGUGCAUGUAUGGUUCUGUCGGUGCUGGUGCUAGGCAUAUGCGAGCAAGUGUAGCGAGGAUGGAGAGAUUUAGGACUGAGUUGCAGGUGAUGGGUCGGCGCCGGAGAUUCAAGUGGGUCUGGCAACGGGUGGUGGUGUGGCUGGUGUUGGAUACGAACGGCAGAUGUGCUGGGUUUCUAGUUGCAGACCUGGUACGAAGGCUGAUGGCUGGGUGACGAUGCAGCGGAAGUGGGGCAGAUUCUGGUGAGUCGUCCGAGCAAACAUAAUCAAAUUUUUUUCUUUUCAAAACGAACACUGAAAACUAUUAUCAAACAAACGACAUGGAUACCUAUCAAGAACAGAUUAAAUCCCGAAAGAUCAAACCUGCUCUGAUACCAUGUUGAAUAUCAGAAUACGCAACAAACGAGACUAACAAAAUAAUAGGAAUAUUAUUAAACUAAAUGAUAAUGCCGGAACGGCUACAAAGCCCUAAGAGACUACAUUGUGAAUAGCUUGAUUUCUAAUGAAUAACAAAACACUCUAUUUAUAAUAAACUAACCCUAAACCCUAAUGCUAACGGGCUAAGCCCAUAAAACCAAAUAUUAAAGUAAACCUAAAUACUAAUAUUUUCCAACAUGGUGUACCGUUUAUUUUGAAGACAUUGAUAGUCUCUCCUAAGUUUCACCAUGAUAGGAGGAUUAACAUAAGGUUCUCAACCGAGGAAACAAGUUUGCAUAGUUUUAGAUAAGUCGAAUCAAAUACAAUGUUUUUUUGUUUUUUAUUUAUUUUUGUUUUUGUGGUCAGUAGUUGUAGCCGACUUUUAAAGAAGACCAUUAAUUUAUUCAAGUUCCUUCUUUGGAUUAUUCGUGAGUUGUCCCUUCACAAAAAUCGGUUGUCAUCAACAUUUUAUAAUACAAGAAAUUGUUUGUUGACGUUUCCAAUUAAUAAAAAAAUCUGAAGAAGGUGACAUGAGUUUAUGUGGCCAGAAUUCCGAAUCUGGCAGGGCGGAUGAACAAGGGAACCAAAGGGUUUCAGGAUUACUCAGAAUGUAAAAAAUAUACAUGUAAAGGUCUUUGAGGAAUUUUCGAAUGUUUGAUAAGGAUUAUUUUUGUGUUUAUUAAGUAUUUGAUAUAAUAACUGAUAGACAUAUCUCGAUAGAUUGCAUCGACAACACUCAACAAAUACUCAAUAUCACUCAUCAGAACGCUUCAACAUAUAUUGAUAUUUGUUGACAUGUGCGCAACAUGGUUUAACUAAAGACAACAAGGCAACUAAGUGAUCGAAGAAAUGACUCAAUGAAUAUAUUAUUAUUUUUUAAAAGGAAAACUAAUGAAAAUGGUUUGAAAACUUUGAGUUUUAAUGAUAAGGACAAAAUAAAGGGUAAAGUGAAUAGUACCAUGAUUGAUUUUUUAGUGUAAAAAUGUGGUUUUUCAUUAAAUUGAACAGUACCGGGAGCUUUUCGUUAAAAUUCCAUUUUUUAAAUGCUUCGCACUCUAUUUUUUAUCUUGAAAACUUAAACAUUUAAUAUCGAAACUCCAAAUGUUCAAAUUCUGAAUUCCCCUUUGAUUGUCAGUUAAGUUUGGAUAGGAUUAAGAUGAGGGACACAAAGUCUGUCCAGACAUUUAGGAAGGGAGAAGGAAUACGACUGCAGCCGACUCCGGCUAAUUUUAUACCACGGCCUGUUUGGUCCGCCUACUCACAUUGAAUUAAAGAAAGCAAGUAAACGCCAACUGUGUUCGGAAGAGCACUUUGGAUAGGAUUGUAUAGUUUGGAAGUGUUUUGCCUUCGUUAGAUAUUGGAGCCAAUAUUUAGUCCCAUUGGCCAUCGAUAUUGCCAUAUUAAGGUGAUUAAAUAAGGCAACUUGAUUAGGGGUUUGGUUUCUUUUGUAAUUACUCGAUGCUAAUGUCCAAAAAAAGUUAUAAUUAUUUGUUACUCGAUGCUAAUGUCCAAAAAAAGUUAUGAGGGCAACACGAAUAUCCGAAUUUUUUAGAGGAUUAUUUGUUAAGUUAUAAUUAAGUUUAUUGAGAAACAAAAUAGAGAAGUUUGUUGUUACUCUGAUCAAAGUUUGUAGCAUAUCACGAUUGAUAUUCUUUAUGGAAUACAUAAAAAAAAUAAGAGACGAUAUGAGAUAUUUCCUGCAAUUGUAGUUUGUUGUUUUGUGUAGAAUUUUAGAAUUAUUUUUUCAUUAUACACAAAAUGCGACCACAUAAUGCACAAAAUAUGAUCUCAUACAAACAUGAGCUGAAGUUUUAAAAGAAAAACAACAACGAGAGUAAAAAAUUAAGAAAAAUGUGUUAGAUUAGAAACAAAAAUAUAGAGGUUUGUUGCUACUAUGAUCAAAAGUAUGUAGCAUAUCACGAUUGAUAUUUACGGAAUACAUAUGAAAUGAGACAUUUCAUGCAGUCGGAGUUUGUUGUUUGGUGUAGAAUUUGAAAACUAUUUUUUUUUUUUUUUGUCAUACAACGAAAUGUGGACACAUAAACACCUAACUCAAAUAUGAUCUCAUGCAACCUUAUUUAUGACAAUCCGAACUCUCUUUGAGCUAAUAUCUGCAACAGUUUCUCUAGAAUUUAUUAGCUCUUAAUUUAUCUAUUUUAAUAUUGAAUGAAAUUUCAUGUUCGAACCUUUUUCUCUAUUUUCAGAAAGGAAAAACAAACCCUAAAGGAUUACGUUGUACGAUUGGAUUGAAUAAGCCAUUUUGAAAUAAAUAUCCAGCCACUUGGGAAUCCUCAGCUACUGUCUUAUUCAAUAUUUGUUCAAUUACUCUUUUACGUGCAAAUACAAUAUAAGCAUUGGGUUCCCCAAUAAUGAUAUCUCCCAACAUACAAAAAUUAGCCAUCACCCCGCCUCUGGUAGGGAAUGUAAUCUAGGAUUUGAACGAGGGAUUUGGGCGUUUGCAUGUUUUGCAUUACACUCAAAGGAUUCCAACGUUUACCCUAAAAAAAUGUGUUUCUUUUGCAUUGUUCUCAUAUUAUUUAUCAGAAAAUUAAAACAAAACAUAUUAAAAUACAACAUUUGAAACAUUCGUCAUUUCCAACAUUGCACGUUUCGCAUUUGGUAAGUGAGAAAGAAUUAGAAAAGGAAAAAGUAAAGAUAUAAUAAAAGAAGCCAAAUUGGCGGACUUUACAUUGCAUUUACACAUUCAUAUCCAAUCCAGACGACUCACACAAAUAUUGGAUAGUAUUAUUUAAUCCCAAAUAAACCAAGUGGCAUUGCAUUCUUCAAUUCAAAUUAUGGGCAUGCAUUGCCUGCAUCUGCACUGCACCUCCAUCCUCCCGUUGGGGACUGUUUGGAUAACUCAUAACUCUCUCUUUCUAUUUUAACUUGGACUCUUUGUCUCGUUCCCACUCCUUUCCCGAAUCCAAUCCAAUCCCCCAAACACUUGGACUUUGGAUUCGGUUUGACUAAAUCAUCCCGCGUUUACCGCCUUCAACUCAGCCACGUGUCCGCCAUCCAGUUGCCCCACCAGCGCGAGACUUUCCAACUCGGCGACGCUUUUCUGGUCGCCAACUAUAUCUGGGGCGGGCGGGGUUAACCUCAAGUUCUUAACCAUGUGAGACAUGCACCCACCUACCGACAGUGGCGUGACGGUCACGUGAGCUACCCUCUUCACAUGUGCGUGGGACACUUGAGAUCAUCACUGCUGUGCGGCGGUGCCUAACGGGCCGCUGGUGGUUGCAGCCAUGUUGCGCGUACAGGAGUAGUAGUGGUGCUGUAUGGUCACAGGUGACACUGUGACAGUUGGGAUGGUAUUGGUUGGUUGGCUUAGCCGUGAGUUCUCGUGCAUGUAUGUAAAAUUGGGUUCUUGUAUUUGCAUUCAACAUACGAAAAUGUAUUCGCAGACGCAAGCGUUGCCACAUUAUUUAGGAUUAAUUUGCUAUGGACUUGAGUUCGAAUAUAUCUCUCCAGUAGAAUAUGUCUUUGACGUAAAGCCUUGGUUAGGUACUGAGGUGAUUCUGAAAAAAAAAUUGGUAUAAAAAAUAGCUGGGAGUCUUUUUGUGUUUGGUAAACAUUUAGCUUCAGUUUUUUUUCACAGUUUUGGGUGAAAAAGCCAAAAACAAGAAGCUGCAAAACCCAACUUUGAAAAAUCAGUUUUUUUUCACAUCUGUUUUACAUAAAAGUUUACCAAACACUAUAAUACUGUUUUUUUUUUCAAAAGCAUUUUUACAAAAAAAUUUAUCAAACACUCUGCUACUUUAUUUCACAGCUGCUUAUUUUCACAGUACAUCAGAAGCAGUUUUUUUUUUCAAAGCACGUCAAUAACAAACUAGCAUGAAGUAUAAGCAGACGGAUUGAACUGAUGGGGUCAAAUUUAAGAAAGUCGGCCGAUAUUUUAUAUGGAUAAAUUUCCAACGGUGUAUGAUGGGAUAAACAAGAGCUCACGAAUUGAGUAGAUGGUUGUAAUCGUGAGUGCAUGUAGCCAUAUUUUAUUGGGAGCUAAUGAUAUAAGGACCAAAUUGUAAUUUACUUAUUUUUUAACACUUUUAGUAAUUUUUUUUGUUGUUGCUGCUAUAUUAGACCUUGGGAGGAAAGUCGAUUGUGGGCUGGGAGUGGUUUCCCAGCAAGGAAGCAUGUUUUGAGGCAGAAAAUGGGGGCUUUAUUGGCAUAUCAGGCACCGGAUGCUAAGGAUUGGCCCCAACUUUAUCCACUUCUUCAAUAUGAUUGAAUCGGAAUCUUUUUAAGAAGGUCUUGAAAAUGUUACUGUCAGUUGUUCUCAUUUCGUUGUAUUAAAAUCAAAAGACACACAUUAGUCAUUGAACUUAAAAUACAUCUAAUUUCUAAUGAAAUUAUCAAAAAUAUGUGUGAACAACUGAACGUAACAUUUCAGAAUCUUUGCGAGGUCUCGAGCAUUUAAUAUUCUUAGGUUCUCUCUUAGUGAAACUAAGAAAAAUAGGAGAUGUAUUUAACUGGACAGAUGGCACCUGUACGUGUUGUGAUCUUAAACGGCGGAUUAGAUUACCAACGUUAAAGAUGGGGAUUAGGUGGGAGAAUUUUCAAGCCAUCACUUUGCCCAAGUCCACGUCCACGUUGUGCGACUUAGAAUUAUACCCACAAAAUAGCACGGUUACAAAUCAACUCAAAAGGAAAAAAAAUUGACCUCCAUUCAACUAUAUGUCAUUGUAGCCGAUUUUCUAUCUCUUUCGGCAUCAUUGUAAGUUUUCCAACUGGAUAAUCACAUUGUUAUAUGGUGUUAUUAAUUCAAAUAUUAUGACUUAUAUUAUGAGUGAAUAACAAAAGAAAAAUUCUUCAAAAUCAAUCGAUAAUAAUAGUUAAGGUGUCAUCGAUAUAUCGUAUUGGUAAUUAUGAAACUCAUAUGAUAUAACGUGAAUAAACUGAUAAUAUUACAUAACGGUUACAAUGAAAAACGUCAAAUUAUUAAGAUGAGAUCCACGAAAUCUCUUCCAUCAUGACAUCAACACUAUUAUCUGAAGGGUGAUGCUAGAGACUAUAUUUGUAGACCACAUGAUGUAGCGAUUGUUGGUUAAAAUUUUUCUUUAAAUCAUGAAAAAUGACAAUCAUAAACCGCCACAUUAUUUGGUUUGCAACCUAUUUUGCACAACUCAAACUCAUACAUGAUCGGCACAUUAAACACCAACAUACUUAAUCCACCAUUUACAAAUCCUAGAUUAAGAACCUCGUAUUAAUUAAGAUCAAGAUUCUUUUUGCGUCCAUACUUCGGUGGUUGUUCAUGCGUCAUUUAAUCAACCUACCCCGCCUCAGUUAAUCUGAAAAGUAUAUUAAUUAAUAAUGUAUUGAGACUAAGAGGGUUUAAAUUCAAUUAUUUAAAGAUUAGUUUAAGAAAAUAAAGACCAGCGUGCUUGCCCUGUUCGGAGUUUAUGUGGAUAGACAUUACGUGAGGGGAUGGCCAUCGUUUGCCUAUCUUUUGCAAGUCAAAGGGUCAUAAAAAAUGCAGGAAAUGUUGUUUAGUUUGGGACUGAAGGGACCAGGGGGGCCUAAUAUUGACAAAGAUUUGAGGCAUGAAAGCAGCAGCUAACCCUACUUCGCAUUAGCUUAUCAGAUUAUGUUCUUGGUGAGCUCUGCAUCUCUUCAGCAUGGAAUUCUAAAUUCUAAUGAUAUUCGAGCAGUGUAAAUAUCGGUUCAGCCUGUUGAUUAGGACAAUAUACUACUCGAUAUCGAUAUCAGAAACUCAAGUAAGGGCUUCGUUAACUUUGCAAACAAUUUAAGAACGAACGUGUACGAGAGUAUGGUCAUAUGAGGAUAGAAGGACUUCAAAGAAUGGGUUAUAUUUGUUUCAGUUUCUCAAAUCGCACUCUCUGGGUCUAAAGCUGUAUCACUUUUAUUAAAUUGAUGUGUCAUAUGUGACCUAUUCUACGCUGACAAUUUAGAUGAAAUUGUGCAACACAAAGCAUCGGUUUAGGAAACCAAAUCUCCAUGCAGACCUUGGUGUUAGCCCAUAAAAGAGUCCCGCACUAAUCGUAUCACCCAUGCAUAUACUGCUAAAAGACCCCUAUUAACCAUUGGUCAUUUUGGUUAUUUCGUGAAAAAAAAUCUUCAUUAAAUCAGAAUAAAAGAAUAAAAAUAUCCUCAACUUUUUGUCGAAUCAUUUUAGAUUAUUGUUAUUAAAUUAAGGAUAUUUUUGUCGUUUUCAUCCUUACUUAACAAUUUUUUUUUUUGGAAUGACCAAAAUGAUUGAGGGUAGACAAACUCAAUACCAUUUCCAUCGAUUUCAAGAACCAAAAUAAAAAAUUAUGCCGAUCUGAUUCUGGCUAAAAUGGCUAAUAUCAUUUUUGGCUAAAAUGGCUUUAAAUAUGGACUUGGGGCAUUAUUCUUGCCAAUUUACCAAGGGAAUUGUUAUUAGCACUCAAAAAAUCUCAUUCUACACUUCUCACAAGUGUAUUUUUCUUUCUAAUUAUAGAAAGUUUAGAGUGUGAAAUGAGAUUUUUGGAGUGCUAAUAACAAUUCCUUUUACCAAAAGCAAUAUAGAUGCAAAAAGAAUCUGCUAUACAAAGUAAAUAACCGGCACUAAAUCGCUUUUUUUAUUUGGAAAAAGUUUGACACAAACUCCCUCAACUUUUAUUAACACAAGCCCAAAAUUACAAGCAAACCACAAGCCUUACUUACAACUAUACACAACCAGAAAAGGGCCAAAACCAAAAGAAAAACAGAAAGAGGGCCCAUCAACAGUAAAGCCCAAAAAACACACAACUGCCUAGAAACUUCUAGUGAAAUCUCCUCCACCGACAGAGAUCCAGACCAGCCAGCUGAAGCGUCAUCCACCAUCUAGUAUCGCUGCCACAGACACCACCACCAACCCCGAGCAUCAACCAGAUCACAUCCAUUACCAAGAUACAUUCGGCACCAAAGAGGGAUUAGCCAACUACCAAGAUGAAGCUCAGGAAAAUCCACAAACAACACUGUUGAAAACGACAAACAGCAAGAAGAUCGAGGUGGUGUUGGAAACACCCGAGUCAAGAACAAAAUCCCGACUCUAUGCGCGAACUCGAGGGGAAAAAUGGCUAAUCCCAACUCUAUGCGCGAGCUCGAGGGGAAAAAUGGCUGAAGAUCGAACUGAGGGAGUGAUGGGAACUCCAGCCAAAGCUAGAGUUAGCACCAAAAAUUGUAUGGUAUUUAUCUUAAGACAUGAAUCCACGUUCCUCAUGAUCAAGCCCAUUGCCAAUGUGUAUAAUAUCAACAAUUUUACAAAACUAAGGCCCAACAAAAUUGACACACAGCCAGCCCUGUGCGGCUGCAGCCCAAAGGAGUAUAUUAAGAGGUAAAUCCAAAAGAGCUUCUAGCAACAUUGGCAUAUGCAAGACGCAUUACCAAAUGAUUUUCCGAAAAGCACCAAACAAGAUUAACAUAAACUAAAACAAAAAUUAUCUUAAACAAAAUAUCCAACACAUUAAUGCCAUGAAAUUAUAUCCGAUCAAAAAAAACAAAGCAAGAUAGUGCCCGCAAUACCUAAACAAUGCACGUAAAUUUCAAUAUCCUCUAGUUCAACUCUGAACCAUAGCCUACUUAAUCAUCAAACAAACUGAAACCCAUUUCCUCGUCGGAUUCCUCUUCCGGCUCAGGCUUCUUCUCUUCCUCCUUGGCAGCUGCUGGAGCACCUCCGGAAGCAGCAGCAGCAACAGGGGCUGCAGCAACGGCAAACUUGCUCGGGUCCUGCAUUGUUAACCCACGAUUAAAUCACUUGCCAAUAAGAAUUAACUGAAAAGAGCAAUGACGAAAAACAGACGGACACAAACAGUUGAAAAAUAGCACAGUACCUUGAGGAACUCCUUGACUUUCUCUGCUUGUGGGAAGGAAUAUUCGGUGGCAAUAGAAACUGCCAAAACAUUCUUGUAGGCAUUGAGGAACAUGUGUGGUGCAGCUGCAAGGGUGGGGUAUGAGACAGCCAACGCCAAUGAAGUGACCAUUGAAACACCAGAAGCAAACUUCACCAUGAGAUCAUCCUCAGUCAGAUCAAGCACCUCAGGGCUGAAGACGGAACCAUUGUCAUACACCAUCUCAACAACAAGACCGUAUGAGAAUGGCCUGAUUCCAAGCUUUGCAAGGAGGGCAGCCUCAGAAGAGCCAACCUUGUCUCCCUUCUUGAUAAGUUCAACAGGGGUAAUGAUUUCGACAGUUCCCUUGUUAAUCUUGGUGGGGAUGUUGAGAACCUGAAAUGUGAAACAUGCAAGUCAGAACUACAAAAUCCCCAAAAGAGUGAUCAGGGUAUAUCGGGAACGAAUGUUAUAACAAACCUGGAAGAAAGAGGUCUGAGAUGGGUCAAGACCAGUGUUGCCAGGAGGAACCACCACAUCAAUUGGAGCAACUAAACCAACACGAGCAGGGGCUCCAACCUAUUCAAUUAAAAACAACAAACAGCUAGAUAUUAGAUAUAUGUAAUGAAACAUAUAGACAUAAUGGGUUGAUUGAAAAACUAAACAAAAAUUUAUGACGAGGCGAACUUAGCUCAAGCACAAGCAAUUUCAUAUUUUCAAGGCAAUUCUCAACAUAACCAUGUAAAAUAUUAAAACUCUACAUAAUCAACUUCUGUUAAAUACAUACUCAGAGAAACAUAACUUUUUGAAAAAAAAAAACACAAAUGUAGGUCUCAUGGCCAUGCCCAAAUAGUAAAGGCAGUGACACUGCUCCACAAUGCGAUGGGAUAUGACAACACCGUCAACGGAGGUGCUCCCAACCAAAGCUGAGAGGACCAUCAACGCCAACAGCAAUCUAUAUGUGACGUUAACUUCCGGAAUUUACAGGCAUAAGUAACCUGCUCCGUUAACUUUUAAGUUAGGGACGGAUCAAUGUCCCCCGUCACAAAUCCACAACAAAAUCAUCAAAGUUUGUAAGAACAACAAAAAAACCUAAACAUAUGUUAACAAAAUCGACACAGAAUUUGUUGAUAAAGCAUAGAACCGGAAAACGCAUAAGCGGAGUCUAAAGCCUAAAAAACCCUGGAUAGCAUUAAAAUACAGUAACUAGCACUUCCUGUUGCAUACUUCAUAAAUAAUGCAAUACAAACCAGUACUUAAUCACAUAUGCAAAACAGUAAAUCCAGUACAAAUUUAUCAGCAUUUUAAAUCCUUAAAACAAUUGAAAUGCAAAAAAACUGAUAACACAAAGUCGAAACAACCUGAAAUCGAAUAAUGCUUACCUUGUACUUGGCAACCUCUUCGCUCACUUCCUUCAGGUCACCCUUGGUGAAAAUCAGACCGACGUUGCCCUAACAUUCGAAAACAACACAAAUCAGAAAACGAACGUACAAAGAACAGAUCAGUAUGCAGAAAUGGGGCGAAACGUACCACAAGGAGGGGGACGAGGUUGAGGUAGGCACUGUUGCCGGUCUUCUCCGCAUGGAUCCUGACGGAGCGCUUCAUCAUUGUGUUCUUCCCCAUCAGAACGACGGAGUCGCCACGCAGCCCCUUGCGGAUGUUCUGGAGCUGCUUGGAGCCGACGUUGUCGGCGGCGACGAUGAGGACCUGGCCAUACUCGUCGAGGAGGGAGCAGAGCUUGGAAUCGUAGGCGAUCUUCUUGUCAGCCUUCGAGGGUUUGGGGGCCAUUGCGAUUAGUGUUUGAAAGACUAGUGGAAAUUGGGGGUUUGGGAGAUGAGAGAGUAAGACCAAAACCGAGGGCCAAGACGAAGCGGCGGCUCUGUCAAGGCGGACAGCAACGGUGCCGUCCCUUUAACCUCUCUUUUUACUGAGAGCCAAGGGUUUUGGAGGUACUGGGAAAACCUAGAAAGCUUGGAGGCGGGUGGAAGUGGAAAAUGGUUGGCAGUGAAGCUUAUAUAGUGGGGUGGAGGGAAGGAGAGGAGAGGUGGAAAGGGUUUGGCGGUUACGUAAACCUAGAUCGGACGGUUGUUAUUUAGUUUUGUUUUUUGGAUCCGAGGAUCCCGGAUGGGCCGGUUUUGGUUUAAGUAAGAAAUUGGCUGAUGUCAGGUAGCCGUUGACAUUCAAAUGGGCUGAACUAGAGGGUUGGUAAAAUGUUAAAUUUGACAUUAUGGAGCUGAAGGGUUGGAAAAAUGUCAAGCUUAACAUUAUGGCGCUGGAAGGCUGACAAAAUGACAAGCUUGACAUUCUGGCGUUGAAAUGAUGGGUUGAAGAGCGGGUUGGCUGGCUAGAAAUGGCCAGCCCGCUGGCCUAAUUUGAGGGUUUGGACCCGGUAUAGCCCACAAGCCAUUUGGCCUAAUACUCGGUUGAAGAUGAUUUACGUGUCAUUCUAAAUUAUUUUUAACUAUAUUGCCCUUUCACCGAGUCG
Molecule: long non-coding RNA, 58770 nt
Filed under: Malus domestica (apple)
Lineage: Eukaryota; Viridiplantae; Streptophyta; Magnoliopsida; Rosales; Rosaceae
Source: RNAcentral